RNAcentral lists this long non-coding RNA (56998 nucleotides) under Eucalyptus grandis. RNAcentral describes it as "long non-coding RNA (EGRA_LNC006763)". Lineage: Eukaryota; Viridiplantae; Streptophyta; Magnoliopsida; Myrtales; Myrtaceae. The record is from RNAcentral.
GAAGAUGUUAGAGAUGGUGUUGAUGCUAAUUUGUUUGGAAAGCAAGGCCUAAGAAAAUUAUUCUUGCAUUGGGAUAAAGAUUUUGGAAUUCUUCGGAAUGAUAAGCGCGAAUCACGGGUGCUCGAGUCUUUGCAACCUCCCAUUGAUAUUGAAAAUCUCACUAUUUUGAACUAUGGUGGUGCAAUAUUCUCGUCAUGGUUAGAUGGUUCAUCAUAUUCUCGGAUAGUGUCUUUGAGCUUGUGGAACUGUCCUUAUGUCACAUCAUUGCCUUCGUUUGGACAACUACCUUCAUUGAGAGAAUUAUCUCUUAAAGGUCUAAAUGCAGUAAGAAUAAUAGGCUCUAUUUUUUUAUGGAGGUGAUAGGCCUUUUUCUUCCUUAAUUACUUUGUAGUUCGAAGAGAUGUUGGCAUGGAAGGAUUGGUCUCCUUAUGCAGGGGGCCAAAAGAAGAAGUCCCAUUCUCUUGUCUUGAGCAUCUUAUUGUCCGGAGCUGUCCUUCGUUGGUCAAGACAUUGCCUUGUCAACUUGAUCGUCUUAUAAAGCUUGAAAUUCAUUCAUGCCAACAAUUGAAUAACUCAACCAGUGAGUUAUGUCUUCCAUCUCUCGAUGAGUUAUACCUUGAGGAUUGUAGUAAGGAGAUCUUAAAGAGCUUGUUCAAGCUAACUUCUUUGACAAUUCUCAAAAUUAACAAACUCAUAGAGCUUGUUUCCUUUGAUCAUCGAUUUAUGAGUUGCUUGGGCAAGCUAAGGAAGCUUCAUAUAGGAUUGUGUGACAAGCUAACAUGCUUGUGGCAAGAUGGAAAUGAAACGCAAAAUCUCACUUGCCUCCAGGAAUUAACCAUUAAAAGCUGUGCUCGAUUCACAUCUUUUGUGGCAGGAGACAGAGAGAUAGAGCUACCAUGUAAAUCUUGAAAGGAUGGAAUUGGUGGAUUGCACAAGUUUAGAAAAGCUUCCGAGCAAAAUGCACGCACUUAGACAUUUGGUGAUUGAGAAUUGUCCAAAAAUCAUGGCUCUAAACAUUCCUCAAGGUGACCCUUGUAGCAAUAAUUCGAUUUCUCAACUUGAAUCUUUUAAGAUACGUCACUAUUAUGCUUCUCCGAUAUCCUUUUCAUUUGCCAAGGGUAGACUUGCUGCUCUGAAGGCACUUCAUAUAGACAAUUGUAAGGGAGUGGAGUCGUUGGAAGGGAUUGUCGUAGAAUCGCUUGAAAUAAUGACAAUUAACGAUUGUCAAAUUAUGGGAAGCUUACCACAGUGCCUUCACAUGCUCUCCCAUCUCACUCGAUUGCAUAUUUAUAAUUGUCCAGCAUUGGAGAUAGAGGACUUCCCUCCCCUUCCCUUAACCCUCUCGAGUCUUGUUCUUAAUCAUUGUUCUAAGAUAAAGUCUAUUGCCAACUGUAACAUUGCCAACUGUAACAAUCUCACUAAAUUGGAAAUAUGGGAGUGUCCGAUAUUGGAGAUAGAGGACUUCCCACCCCUUCCCAUCACCUUGUAGAGGCUUAAACUUUGGGAUUGUCCGAUGAUAAAGUCCCUGCCAAAUAAGUGGCAUCAUCUUACAUCCCUCCAAGAGCCAUUUAUUCUCGUUUUCCAAAAUAUCAAAUGCUUACCCAAAGGAGGUUUGCCUCCCAAAUUGCGAAAGCUUGUUAUUUCGGGGCUCGUGGAUCUGAAGCAACCAGUGAGAGAGUGGGGCUUACACCUGCUCACAUCUCUCGAGAGUCUGAUCGUUGAGUUUAACAUGGGAGGGGAGGGAGAGAAGGAGUGGUUUCCUUCGGAGGAUGAGGAUGCUUGGAGUCUCUUUCCUUUCUCUCUAACCUAUCUUUCGAUAUAUGAUUUGAGAAAAGCGAAAAGACUAUCGAGCGGUCUUCGCAACCAUCUCUCCUCUCUCAAGUAUUUAACGAUUGCAAAGUGCCCCAAGUUGAGGUACUUGCCAGAGGAUGGCUUCCCUCCCUCCCUCCAACAAUUGCGCAUAUAUCGAUGCAAGAUUUUGAAAGAGCGAUGUGCAAAACUCACUGGCAACUUUUGGCCCCUCAUCGAAGAGAUCCCUAAUAUCGAGAUUGAUGACUAGCCGAUCUACACUAUAGUCAGUUUUCUUAGGGAUCAGGUAAGUUAUUUUUGGUUUUGAAGGCAUCCUUUUCCAUUCUACUUUCUCAAUUCGAUGCUCAGUACGAACUAAUGUUUGGGUGGGGGAUCUCGUUGGGUUGGAUUAGCUCUGUUUCGUUGGACAAUGAACUGUAGGAUGAAAUGCUCGCAAUGCUGCCUCUUGCUAUGUUGAUGACAUAUCCUUAUUUCUAAUUGAUGCCCAAACCAUUGGUGAAUGAAAUCGCACCAUCACGAAGAAUCAUAGCAUUCCACAAUCAUAGUCCUCUGCAUUUUCAGCGUCUAUUGUCUAUUCUCUUCCCAACAUCUUUUUUACUAACUAUAAUGUAGGCCUUGCAUAGCUUGGUCAAAGAUUAUAUUUCAUCCUUCUUUUAUUCAAAUACAUGAGAAUCAUGAAGAUUCAAUGGUGUUCCACAAUCAUAUUCCUCUGCAUUUUCAGCAUCUGUUGUGUGCUAUCUUCCCAACAUCUUUUUCUCGUGCCCUAGUUCAUCCACUUUGAUUGUUUUGCAAGAUGCCAUUGUCAUAUGUAUUGGCAAAAUUUCCUGGAAGGAUCACUUGUGAAAAUUAUUGAGGUAGGGUUGUGUUGUCAAUGUUAUGUGUCAUUUUUAACAAUUUACAAGAAAGGAAGAAGCAGUUAAAUUUAUUUGGUGCACUGAUAUGCUAUAAAUUUUCUUCUUGUGAUUAUUAUCCAAAUAAGAAUUAUCUCUCUCAAAAUCUAAAAAUCAAAUUAGUCAUGUGGAAGCUGUGAUAUGAUUGUGAAGAAAAGGGAUGCAAUUUUUAUUUUUUUUUAAUUAUGGUUUUCUUUAGAAUUGAGAACCUUCUUUUUGUUGAUGAUGAUCCUUCAUAGUAUUAAGCAGUCUAUUUAGGGUGCUCAUGGCUCUAAGCUUUCAAUGCAACACAAAUUCAUGAUAGGAUCGAUAUUCAUAAACCACCUUAUUUUUAGGUCUUGAUCUCUAUUGAGUUAGGAACUAUUACCUACAACUUGCUAGAAAUUUUUAGCCAAUAUACUCAUGCUUAUUUGGUUGAGACGGUAACGAUAUCCUACCUGCGUCUAGGUUUGCAUUGUCAGUAAUGACCUCUGGGGCAAAUCUUGUCAGUUCUUUAAAUUCGUCAUACACCAUGUCGUUGUAUCUAAAAUUACCUUCUUAUGUGGCAUUCUUCCUGAGCUCACCUGGGUUCCUUGGUCUAACUGGAAAUCCUGCACUUCAUCAAUGUAUACCUUGUCUAGAUCAUCUUCUCUCUCUUUGCUACUGUUGCGCAUGUUAAAAAAAAAAAAAAAAUCAUGCAAUUUUUUUGUGAUAUCGUGAAGCUGUAUUGGAGGUUAGUUGAUAUGUAAUCUCAAUUGUGGUUCAUUGUGUACUUUCUCUGAGGCUUUUUGGAUGUUAUUGCACAUAUAACAUGGUGCUUUGACCAUGUACAUAGGUGGUUAGAUAAGCAGAGUUGCAUCUGCCAAGAUAACUUUCAAGAAACCUCACAUAGUUCUGCUUGACAAGCCAUCCAAUCAUUUAAUUGGUUUACUCAUUUUUCUUUUUCAGUUAGCUUGUUAUUGUUCUUGCACCAUUUGAACUUAUUGGAAUAUGGUCUUUACAUUGAAAAUACAGUAAAACCAAUCAAUGAUCACAGCUACAGGGAGCAUUUGUCAUUGUACAUCUAACUUACAAUGGAAUAGAGAGCAAUCUAGUUUUUCCAACUUGCAAAAUGUUGGGAAUAGAAUGGUUCUGCUAGCCUGAUCAGUGUGUUUGUAUUACAGUAAUCUAUGAUACUACCAAGUAGUUCCUAUGUUUGUGCUUCGAGGUAGUGUUGGGCUUUGCACAUAAUGAAUGUGGACCCUUUUCUUGCUUAUAAAUGUUCCCUCUUAGUUUUGCUUUAAUGAGUAGUGACUACUCAAGUGUCAUCUUUGUAAAUCGUUAGUUUCUUGUCUAGAAAUAGAUAUGAUCCUGCCUUUUCCACUAUACCCAAUUGUAGGAUUUGGAUGAGGCACUCAUUCAAGGUCUGGUCUUGUUUCUUGGAUGGAUCAUUUCGCAGCUGACAGCCCUCUUUUCGCCUUGAUUUGCAGGUUAGUCUCGAUGAGCAUCUAAUAUCUAGAAGCGUAGACAAGCUAUUGGUGGUUUCUCAAGGCAAGGUGGCGGCUUUCCAUGGGAAUUUCCAGGAAUAUAAGAGUUUGGAUGUCCUGAGGGUAUCUCUGGGGUUAUUGCCUUCAUCAUCUGCACUAACGGUGGAGGACAAACAUCCCAAAAUGAAGUAGAAAUUGGUUGAGCUCGCCCAAUCUCUGAAUGCAGCAUGUGUGGAAUAACGAAUUUAUCAAGUCGAUGCAUCUUCUAUAACCUUAACGUCCGGCUAGGAAAGAGAGAAUCUCCCGGACAACAAAUUCCUUCCAAAGAGCCACCAAUUCCACCGGUUCCCCACAAAAGUAACACUCGAGGAUACAAUCGUGAAAGAGGGAAAAACCCUAGCCUAAGCUCGUCGGAUGCAGGCGACGAACUAGAGCCGCCGGUAGAGCUUCCGGAGGUGACGGCGGAGGCGGAGGCAGAGGCAGCGACGUGGUCGGGAGUGACGAGGAAGACACCUUCGCUGUAAUGGGAGCGAAGCGCGCGCACGGAAGGUUCAAGCUCGAGCUCGCUGGGCCCAGAUGGCAUAUCGGAGCCGCUGAUGGGCUCCGGAAUGCGACGAGCGGAGGCGGGGGCGGAGGCGGCGGCGCAGUUCGUCCGAGGAAUAGAGAGGAGCCUGGGAUUGAGAGGGAAGAGAGCGAGGGAGAGGAGAGAGAGGGAAUUUCAAAAUAUCUUUUAGGUGGGAUCCUACUGUACAGGUGGUGAGACUUGAGAGAGAGAAGGAACACUUUUUAUAUGCCGGCAAUAAAAAAGAUCUCAAAUUCCGCUCAAGCUACUCAUAUUCCCUAAGUCACUAUUUCAAAACCUACAAAGUAAUUUAAUGCGUGUCUUGAUAAAUAAAUAAAUAAGCAAAAGACAUAGUAACUUAGUAUGAAUUGGAGCAAAUGAUCGGUAACCUCACAUGUGGAUUACAGUUAGCUUUACCGGUUCUUUGUAUUUGCCUCUGUUGGCACAUGAAUUUUCUCGAAAAAAUCAAGUAUUGCAUUUUUUAAAAUAGAUAAACAAUAGUAAUAAGAACAAAAAAUAGAUAAACAAAUUAACAAAUAACAAAAGAAGAAGAAGACGCGGAAGGAGGAGGAGGAGGAGAAAAAAAUAAUAAAGCCUCGGCCCUAUUCAGUCCAGUCCAGUCCAGUCCACAAAGCCCAUUCAAAUCCACGGCCUCAAUCCAUCAGCCCAUUCGUUGAUUGAAAACGGUCCUGAACUGAUUUUGUACGACUUUGGUCUCAAAUCCGAGUUCAGCGAUGCCUCCUUUAAAUCCUCACUCGAUGCACGUAAACUGUUCGAUGAAAUGUCGCUGAGAUAGGGUUGUGUAAUGGUUCUUCCAUAAUUGUCUAAUCUUAAGGCAAAUUGACAUAGUUUACAUGAUAUUUUUUGUUUUUUCUUUUAGCUGUUAGGCAUGAUUUGUUAGACACGUAACCUGCAUUUCAUUUGUUCUGCGUUUCGCAUGUUCGUUUGGCUACAUUGCUUCGGCUAGUCGUUGCAUUAGAUUAAUGCCAAAAAAUUAUGUCGGCGUCAUUAUUCACUAGGCGACAUGGAGACCAUACCCAUCCGAUCGAUCCAUCCUCCAAACGGAAUUCCUUUCGCCAACAGAUAAUAUUUGGUUUUCCAUCUAAUCGUGUUCCAUGGCAAUUCGAACAGGAAGUGGCACGCGUAACCAAAAACUAGAAUUAAUUACUCUAGAACAAAGUUAAAAUGCAGGAAGUAGAAAAUUAAGUCAAUAAAUUGAAAGAUACAUAAUUUGAAUUGAUGAUCUUGUAUCCCUUGCACAAAUAAUCCAACAUGGCUUAUAUAACCCUAUCGCUAGACGUAACCGCUCCUAAGUGGUCAGUAUUCAAAUUAAAGGUUACAAACUGCAACUCCAUGAUCUUAGGCUCUAUGAACAAAUUCCAUGAUUGCACAUUAACUUUAUCCAUAUGCGGCAGUGAAAUCAAAUAACACAUUUCCACAAUGUUGGCGUACAAAACUUGAUUCGGUUUUCAAAUAACAUGUUGUGAAAUCUUCACUUUUGUGGUCUUGGGUUCAAAUCUUAUUGGAAGCGCUCCAGAAGUAAAAUUCUGAGUGCAGUAGGCUGAUGUCUGCAAGUACCUCCUUACAUAUCACUUGGAGUGGUGGAUCAAUCUAAAUGCACAAAAACUGGCCAGGACACUAUUUUAACACUAAAACCGAAAAAGAAAUGAAAGGAAGAAGCUUCAACUACAUUUUUGGUCUCUCUCUCUCUCUCUCUCUCUCUCUCUCUCUCUCUCUCUCUCUCUCUAUACCGGCGGUGGCAACAAUGUGAAGAAAAACGAAAGAUGGUAACAAAAACUGAUUAGGAAAAGUUUAGAAAAUUGUCAAAAAAAUUUACAAAGAUUGGAGUAAGUUAUCAUAUGGAUUUGUAAGUGGGUUUCAAGUGCCAAGCCUUUCUGUAAACAGAGCACCAGGGCCACAGGCCCAAUCAAAUGAGACCAAGAGCACUUUGCCUAAGUCCAUGAAUCAAACGGAACCAUAUAGCAUCGGCAAAACAGGAAAAUCAAACAAUAAAAAAAAAUUAUAAUAAAUUUAAAAAAAUGACGACGAUGAUGAUGAAAAUUCUAACUUGCUUUUACGUUAUUAUUACUUUAAUUUGUUUACGUUCUUGUGUUUAAUAUCAUUAUUGAAACCGUAGGCAAUUAUCCUUUGCCAAAAUUAGACUUUGACUUGAUUUUGAAAAUUAGCUCACUGGUCGAUGUCCCCAAACGUAAUAAUAAAGCAAUGUAUACUUUGCUCGUCUCGUUUCGGAUUUACUUUCCACACUUUAUUUUUACUCGUCCUUUAGUAUCAUUUUGAUGUGUCAUGCUGUUUUCAUUAUAUUGAUUUCGUGAUGUAAUUUCUUUAGAUUCAUUCAAUGAGUAUAUUACACUUUAGAGUCAAUCUUGAUCAAACAAGCAUGCAUGGACACGUUGUGGAGAAUACUACUACGUGUAAUCAUAUCUUUGAAUUCUCUAGCUUAUAUAAAGUAACGUGUUUUCCCGUUAGCUCCUAACUGGUUCCAAUAGGCUAGUAAUGAGUAUAUUUCUCAAUGUUAUGUGCGGUUAGGAUUUCAAAGAGCUCACACCGAAGGAGAGGGAUCACACGUUCCCGUUCAAUAAGCUAUUAAACCCACUCAUCCCGCUCGGGAGCAUCGCAAUAGCCUCUGACUGCCUUUGCACUUACUAUCGGCAUUUCAAUUUUUACCAAAAUAUUACGAAGGCAAUUUAAAUUCAGCAUCUUAUCAACUCGAUUGAAUCUGUCUCAGUAUUGUGUUGAUCUUGAAUCACUUGAGUCAGUUAGAAUGUUCUGCCCUCUCGGAACCAGAUCGUCUUCUCUGCCUGCUGCUCCUCUCUGCAACUUUGACCUUCAUGGUCGUAUCUGUUUGGGAAUGACUGAUCCCCGAAAACCGGAUUCGACACCGAAUCGAAUCCCUAAAUCAAUGCGGAAGACGAAGCCCGGGAAAAACACGUAUCACCGAUCGUAAAGCACACCGCGGAGUCGAGCGUACCUUGUUAGCCACAGAUUAAACACCGUCGUCAAUGGAGGAAGAGAGUCCAGUCGAUGAAGCCUUGAAGGGAAGAAAUUGGAAGCCGUAUGCCUUACUGUUCUUCGGGAGAGAAAACGCGCGGGAGAGAAGCGUACGUUGAUUGUGCCAAAGGGUGCUUCUCUCUCUCUCUCUCCUCCCUUUUAUACCUUCCCCCAUCCACGGGCCCUAUUCCCGUGGGCCGGGCUUUUUGGGCCCAACUUGGGCGGACGGGCCAACUCAGGCCCAUCUCAUAAAUCCAUCAUCUCCCACUCGCACAUGGUGGUACAAAACCAACAUGGGCGGACAGGCCCUACUCAGCCUCAUCAAAGAAAAAUCCAUCAUAGACUUUCUCUUAACACGGUGGGCCGAACAGAAUUCUCUUUUACUCUCUUCAACAUUCAUACCAGUGAAUAAUCCGUGCGACCAGCAUACUUUGAGAGCUCGUUACUAUACAUAUGUUAGGAAUAUAUAGCAGCUCAUAAUGAGCGUCACACUCCGAGUAGAUUUAGUAUGCAGUACCCUAGAUCGAUCGAUCACAUUUAUAUCUCUCUUGAUCUCUUUCAAACAAUGAUAUAUUGUAUUCACAAUUAUGAUUAUCACAAAAACAGUCAUAAUUGGUUAACCGGUGAAUACAAAACUACAAUUUGAUUCUCCAAAAUCAAUCUUCCUCUUCCCUUCAAACUCUCAAUUUCAGUUCGGCUUGCUUUUCUAGAAAUGCCCCAUUAGAUCGCAUCAAACUCAUGACCAUUGGCAACAUCCUAAGAUAGCAAACACUAAAUAGAAAUCUUAAGAAUAAGUAAGAGUCAUGAGAGGACUAAAAAAUUGAGGAACUCUUUUCCUCAAGAGUCUCACACGACAUAAAAAAAAGUUGAGAUCAAACUUUUGCCACUCUUAUUGGUCGUCUCAUGCAUACGUAGUAUGAAAUACGUAUUACGGUAUUAACUCCUUUCCCAUGGAGCGUAUGUCUACACCUUUCAAUACCGUACAGAUGAUAGUUCAGACAUACCCAAUGUCUAACUUGAGUUCACGUAUCUACUCAUUUACAAAAUUCAUCAGAACUCACAUCUGGCAUCAUAGACAGAUAAAGUAAAAUAUGUGGGGUAUUUUACUCUCGGACAUAGUAAGUAUUAUGUCCUCAUCUUAACACCCAGUUAAGGCGACAUACGUGUUUUAAGCUUGAGCUCUCGAUUAUCACCUAGAUAAUAAGCUUAAAAACAGUCUCAUCUCUAUUUAUCACAUAGCAAAUAGAGGCGAUUACUCGUGUGAGUGGGCUAAUCUUUUAUCUGUCCGACAUACUUCUUAACUUAAAAAUAAUACACUGAGCAUUAAGAUGCAUAAAGAUCACACAUAGAUUCAUAGACAUUAAUGAUGAAAACACAAAUUCAUCAAAUGUGAACAUUUAGGGAAAUUACAAUAUUCAGUACAUCAACCUCUACGCAAUCCUAGAGAUUUCAUAUAGCCACAAAACACAUCUCUAGGUAUUGGCUUUGUCAUAGGAUCUGCUACCAAUCUUAUGCGUAGUAUGUACUUUUAGUUCACAUCAUUUCGUGCAACCAUAUUUUAAACAAAGUUAUACUUGGUAUCUACAUGUUUGGUCUUGCCUUGAUAUUUUGGAUCUUUGGUGUACGCUUUUACUACUUGGCUAUCAUCGUUAACUAAUAACGAAUCUGCAGCACUUCCAAUAACACCUAAAUGAUCCAAUAAUCUCUUAAGCCAAACAUCCUCAUAUACUGCUGCUGAUAAUGCCACGGACUCAGUUUCCAUCGUGGACAAGGCUAUACACUGUUGUUUCUUACUGCUCCAACAAAUGGUGCCAUUAUUCGGUAAGAAAACAAACUAAGAGAUAGAUUUUCUUUCAUCUAAAUCUCCUUCUCAAUCAGCAUCAUAAUAGCCUUAGAGUCGCAGAUCCUUUCCUCAAUGACUCAGCGUAUAAUCAGCAGUCCCCUUUAGAUACCUUAGUAUUCUUUUAACGGCUUUCCAAUGUGCUUGACCUGGAUUGGAUUGGUAUCUACUCACCAUUCCAACUGCAUAACAUAUGUCAGGUCUUGUACACAUCAUAGCGUACAUCAAGCUCCCAACAGCAGUAGCAUGAGGAACAUAUUUCGUUUGUUCCUUCUCUUGUGGAAUCCUUGGACACAGUCUAUGGCUCAAUCCUUCACCUUUUGCAAUAGGAGUGUCUUUGGGUUUACUAUCCCAUAUCCUUCAACUCAAAGUUGGAAGACAACCGACUUUUGACAAUAUUGACAGGCUCCAUAUUGCUUCCGGCAAUUGGUAUAUCAUCAACAUAUAAUGAUAUGAUCACAAAUUGAUCAUUGGAUCUUUUGAUAUAUACACAAUGAUCCUCAUCUAUCAUUGUAAAAUCAUAUGCCAUUAGGGUAUUAUGAAAUCGUAUAUACCAUUGUCUUGACGACUGCUUAAGGCCAUAUAUCGACCUCGAAAGUCGACAUACCUUUUCUUUUUGGCCUUUCACUAUGAAACCAACAGAUUGUUCCAUAUAUGUUUCUUCCUCUAAUUCUCUAUUGAGGAAAGCAGUCCUCACAUCCAUUUGAUGUAACUCAAGAUCCAUACCAAACACUAUUGCCAGAAUUAUGCGAAUCAAGGUAAAUCACACUACAGGAGAAAAUGUAUCUACAUAAUCAAUAUCUUCUUGUUGAUUAUACCCCUUCGCCAUAAGGUGAGCCUUAUGCCUUUCUAUCGAGCCAUCAGUCUCUCGCUUUAUUUUGAGAACCCACUUGUUCCCAAUAGUUUUGUGUCCUUUUAGAAGAUCAACCAGUUCCCAGACUUGGUUUGAUUUCAUUGACUCCAUUUCCUCUUUCAUUGCAUGAAUCCAUUUUUCCUUAUUAGGGCAAUUCAAAGCCUCAUUAAUAUUUCUUGGCUCAUACUCAUCUUGUGGAGCAACCAUAAAAGUUUCCCUUUCAAUGUCAAAACAUCGACGGGGAAUACUUUGGCGACUUGUUCACCGUAUGGGAGAUUGUACACUUAGCACAUCAUUCCCCAUUAUGCUCCCACUUGGAUUAUGUAAUGAUGAUGUCGUCACAUCAGGUGGUUACAAUUGAGAAUGAGUUGAAUUCAAUUCAUCACAUCUCAUAUUACUCCCACUUGGACGAACUCAACCAAUAUCAUUAUCUAGAUCCAAGGUUUCAAAUAGGAAAUAAUCUUCUCCUAUUUCGCCCCUCUUAGGAAAUUCAUCCACUAAGGAUGUGACAUCCCAUGAUUCAAAAUUCAGUUAUUCUCCCACUUUCCUGCUCACCUACGAACACAUACCCUUUCGAGUGUUCGGAGUAUCUCAUAAAAAUACUCUUCUUUCAUUUGGGACCAUAUUUCCCAAAUUUGUGAGAGGAUUCAUUAUAGGCAGCACAACCCCAUGACUUAAGAAAACCUAAGUCCGGUUUUCUACCUAUCCAUAACUCAUAUGGAGUGGAACUAACUGAUUUAGAAGGCACCCGGUUAAGUAUUUAGGCAGCAGUUAACAACGCAUCACUCCAAGAAGUGAUAUGUAAGUUAGCAUACACCAUCAUGGACCUAACAAUUUCCAGUAGGGUUCUGUUUCUUCUCUCUGCAACACCAUUUUGUUGAGGAGUAUAUGGAAUAGACAACUAUAUUUCUAUUCCUUUUCAUCACAUUAUUUUCUGAACUCAUCAGAUAAAUAUUCUCGACCUCGAUCGGAUCUCAAUACUUUUAUUUUCUUGUCUAAUUGAUUCUCUACCAGGGUCGUAAACCUUUUGAAACAACUUAUCGCUUCAGAUUUAUGAGAAACCAAAUAGACACAUCCGAAUAAAGUAUAAUCAUAUAUUAAAAGUGAUGAAAUAAACAGCCCCAUGCCUUCCUCUCACAUUCAUUGAACCACAAACGUCAUAACGGAUUAAAUGCAGAGGAAAUUCAGCUCUUUUACCUUUUCUAAAUGGUUUCCUUGUCGUUUCCCUUCUAGGCAAUGCUCACAUAUGGACAAAUCAACUUUUUCAAUAUUGCCCAACAAGCCCUCUUUGGCUAGUCUUUUCAUAUGUUGCUGGCCCAUAUAACCAAGUCUAGCAUGCCACAUAUUCACAUCUUUAUCAUAUGAAGUAGAAGACGUGAAACAAACAUUCACAUCAUUAUCAUGUGAAGUAGAGAAGACGUGAAACGAGGGAAUAACAAUUAUUGACAUCGCCACAGUCAACAUCUAAUACAAUAAAACCAUCAAGAAAGUGACCACAACUAUAAUAGUUCGUAUCCAAAUACAAAUCUACACCUCUAUUAUGGAAGUUCAUAUAAAAACCAAGCUUGACCAACAUCAAAACAGACACUAAAUUUCGACGAAUUUCCGGAGCAUAUAGAUCUUCAUGUAGGAACAAGUUGCGUCCACCACGCAUGUUCAAUUGGCCGGUGCCAAUCCAUUUAACUUCAUCUCUGGAGUUAUUUUCUACAUAGAUGCACUUAGUUCCAGUUGGUACUCGUCAAAAUUCCAUGAAGAAUUCUCUAUCCUUCGCUAUAUGGUAUGUUACAUCUGAAUCUAUAGCCCACAAAGGAUUGGAUUCAGCCAAUAAAGCAGAACUUGACACAUAAGCAAAGUUCUCAAAUGUACUAGAGGUGUAUACUUGCUUUGGCUCACGACAGUCGCAAGCAUAGUGACCUCUCUUGUCACAAUUGUUACACCUCACCCUUGACAUUUUCUUUACUUGAGGACGUUUUCCUCUCUUGUGUUGGUUAACCCUUGAUUUCUUGCAAUAAGGACUUGAUCCUUUGCAUGCCCAUAUAUUGAACGAAUCAAUACGCUUGCGCUUAGAGCUCAAAGCCCUUUCUAAGCUAGAACCAACAUUGCCAAUAUUUAUUUUCGGCUCAAAUGCCAUUAGGCGGUCCUCUACUAGCUCAAGGUGGCGCACGGCACCCUCAAGAUCUUCCAUAAUUUGGUCAAGAGCUUCUAGUGCUUCUUGCUUUUACAGCACAUAUUGAAUCUUCAUAUUCAAUAUUUCACAAUUGUUGCCGUUCAUAUCAGCAAUCACAUUCUUAGUUGCUGAAACCAUCAGUCUGAACACAUCAGACAUACAUGCACGAAUAAUUAAUGCCUAUCAUUUAUGCAUCCCUAUUUACAUAGACCCAUCAUAUUAAUGAAUAAUCUCAAGUAAGGCUUCAGAAUCAAAAGGUCACUACGUUUCCAAUCAGCCUCCAAAAAUCCUAACUUAAAACUAUCAUUAAUAUGAUUGUCAUAUGUAAAAUCAAUUCUAUGAAACUACAAAAACUUCUAAAACUACCCACAGCUAAUUACCCACAGCAACCAGCAAUAACAAAAAGCAAUAUAUAAUAGAAUAUCGAAUAAAAUAACAACGCUUUCACAUGAUACAACUAACAUAUCGGUUGCUACAUCAACAACAAUCAGGUAGUAAACAUUACAUAAUUAAUCAAAGAAAUAAUUAGGGAAAGUCCCUUCUAAUCUAUCAGUCAAAACAUCUGAGAAAACCGAAGGCACAUUUGCCAACCAUGGAAAAAUUUUUGGAGAGCUCUUAUGUCGCCACCAAGGCGCAUUCGCUCUGCGCCAUGUGGCGCUCAAUCUAAGGGUUGAAGUUUUGGCCAACUCAAUCCUAUAGUAUUCUCUUACAAAAGUUUCCACUAGACCUCUAUAACCCGGGACCACGUUGACCUCCCAUAGCCGAUCUAACACUGCUUGCCAUUCAGGUGGAAGAGUGUUCAUCAAAGCCGGCACCUUCUCAAAGUCCAGCAUAAGAUAACCAUUCCAGAUGAUUUCCUGUAUCAUUUGAUUGACCUUGACCAUGUGUGAUACUAAAUCACCAUCAAGCCACCGAUAAUCAGCUAACCCUUUCAUCAGCCUUUUCAGUCUAGCUCUUCCUUCGUCCGUUCUUGGGAUUGCAGGUAUCCGUGCAUAACGCAUCAUAAUUCCUGCAACAAAUGCAAAACUAAAAUGGAUCACUUAUAAUCCAUAAUAAACAAAAUGGAAAAUACAUAAAUUUCCAUGAUUCAUGCAACAAAUGCAGAAUAAAAAUGGAUUACCUACAACCCACACAGGCAUAAUUGAAAAAAGAAACAAAUUCCUUUUUUUUUUUUUUUUUUUUUCGGGUCAACGGUCAAAGUCAACGGUCAACGGUCGUCGGACCGGCCGGACCGGACGGACCGGUCGGGCCGGUCGGAUCGCUCGCGCGGACCGACGCACGUGCCGCGCGCGUGCGGGGGAUGACAUCACGCAGACGUCAUCCGCACGUGCCUGCCACGUGCCUUGGUCUCCGGUGGGUCGGGUCGCCGGCUGGUGACCGCCCAGCGAAACGUCGUCGGCGAUGACGUCAUCGGUGACGUCAGCACGCGUCGGUCCGCGGACCGGCGCGUGCCGUUUCGCCGGUCGCCGGCGCGCACGUGCCGGUUCGUCACCGGCGCGUGUGGCGCACGCGCUGGCCAUUGCCAGCGCUUCGGGCGCGUGGCGCCCACGCGCAGCGGCUUGUGGCCGCGCGUGUGGGCGCGUGCGGCAUCUUCCGGCGACGCACGACAUGUCGCCGGACUCGUCUCGUCCUCGCCUUUCACGCAGGGCGUACAGUGCUCGGGUGUCGGGAUUUCACGCCCCGAUCCGUACGGCCGAGAAUUUUUUACGAAAAAUCAAUGAAAAACAUCAAAUUGAUCGGGAAAAACUUGAACUAGGGCUCUGAUACCAAUGUUGGGAAUGACUGAUCCCCGAAAACCGGAUUCGACACCAAAUCGAAUCCCUAAAUCAAUGCGGAAGACGAAGCCCGGGAAAAACACGUAUCACCGAUCGUAAAGCACACCACGGAGUCGAGCGUACCUUGUUAGCCACAGAUUAAACACCGUCGUCAAUGGAGGAAGAGAGUCCGGUCGAUGAAGCCUUGAAGGGAAGAAAUUGGAAGCCGUAUGCCUACUGUUCUUCGGGAGAGAAAACGCGCGGGAGAGAAGCGUACGUUGAUUGUGCCAAAGGGUGCUUCUCUCUCUCUCUCUCCUCCCUUUUAUACCUUCCCCCAUCCACGGGCCCUAUUCCCGUGGGCCAGGCUUUUUGGGCCCAACUUGGGCGGACGGGCCAACUCAGGCCCAUCUCAUAAAUCCAUCAGUUGCUCUAGUCAUCCACUUAGCGGUGAUCCUUUGACGCGGUUUUGGCUCCCGAUGCUCAAGGAGCUGCUGGGGAGGCAUAUGUUGGCACAAGAUCGCUAGUAGCAGGAUCCUCUGCCACGAUUACCAUGUGACGAUGGAGUUUAACAUAAUUUCGAGCCUUUGGAUAUAGACAUCCAGCUUCAAAUUCAUUUAUAUAGUUUAAAUUCAAGUCACGGAUCAUUUGGUUAGAAGCUUCCGAUAGUGCAUGAUUGUGACUUCUCCUGAAUAACAAUAAUUAGCAUGUACACAUUGCAUUUUCAACAAGUCAUAACGCUAUUUCGCUUUUAGUAAUAAUAGAGGAAGGGUUUGGCUUGCUCUGAACAAGUAGGCCAACUUGUUCUCUACUAGAAGGAAACGUUUGGCUGAGGCAAGUCGACUUGUCAACUUGUUUUCUAGAAGUGACGGUUUGGAACCUCAACUUAAGAUUCACGGCUAGUUUCUCUUCCUUCUUUAAUGGCAAGUUGACUAAGAUUUGGAGGCCAACUUUGAUUUUUCUUCUUGACGGCCAAUAUAGGAUGUUGAUUAUUCAACACCACCCUCUUUUGAUCUGCCCAGUCCCCUACAGACCUGUCCUAGUCGUAGCUCCGUCGAUAUUAUCUUCUAUCGUUGUAAGCAGUGGCCACCCAUUGCCGUAGCAGAGUUCCCACGCAUACACCGUGAAUUGUCGAACCUAGCGCUCGUCCCCCCUGCUCAGCAGUUUUCUCUUCCUGCUCGUCCAAACCUGGCGCUCGUCCUUGCUGGAUUGCUGUUUUUGAUCUAAUCUUGUUCACCGGUCAGCUCCAGAAAGUCUACUCGGAAUAGGUAAAUCUCUUUUCCCCUCAAGCUGAUUCAUCCAGAACCUCACUGCUAAAGUAUCUGGUAGGCCUUUAUUACACGGGAGCAGCCACCAGUCAUUUCUGAAAUCUUUCUAUAUAUUUGAAGCAAAAGAAGAGGUGGCAGCAGCAACAAUAUUUUCGUUCUUAAACUGACUUCAUGCCUGUCUAUAUUCCCGAUUGCAAGUUUAAUAACAAAAUUUUAGUAGAAGUUGAUGUCAAAUACUUGCUGUCCCGAUUAAAGUUGCGUCAUGGUGAUUUGUUGAAUAUUUUUGCCAUCCAUGUUUAUGAAAUUGCAUAUGGCUAGGUCACUCUCGAUCACGUCUUCACGUGUAAUUUCAUGAAUUUACAUGUGUCAAAUUUCAUAAAAGUCAUCCACGGCAUGUUAUACACAUUCGUUGCAUUCUAGAUUGUAUAUUAGGGGAGGUGUUUAACAAAACUACGUGUAGAGUUAUUAGGUGUUGCACAUUUAGGAAAUUGCAUAUCAUACAUUUACAUAUUUAGGGAAAGUCAUAUUCACAUUUUUAAGUGUGUUCAUAUUUGCUGAUUUGGACAGACUUAGGAUUUUUCAUUACAUAUUAGGAUGGAAUUUCAUCAUAUUCGUGUCAGGAUAAUUAUAUUCGAAAAAUUACAAUUUCAUGGACAAGCAUUAUCAUAUCCCACGGACUCCACUCUCAUUCAAUUAAUUUCUUGCAUGCAUAUCGAUUGUCGCCAAUCACCACCAUCUCUAGUCGUCGCUCCAUCAAUACCAUCGUUCGUUGUUGCAAGCAGCGACCACGCAUUCCCGUAGCUGAAUACGUACGCGUACACAGUGAACUGCCAAGCCUAGCGCUCGUGCUUGCUGGAUUGCUGUUGUGGAUCUAAUCCCGUUCGCCUGGUCAGCUCCAGGAAGUCUACUUGGAAUAGGUAAAAGACAUCUAUCUACUUGCUCUCUUUUUCCCUUGAACUGAUGCAGCAAGUUUAAUAACAAAAUUGGGGAAAGUUGAUGUCAUAUACUUGCUGGCCAGAUUAAAGUUGCAGCUUGACUGCAUAAUUCAUGGUGAUUUCUUGAUCUUAAUGCGGCUUAGUUGUUUUAAUGAGGUGAUACAUCUGCAUGCAUAAUUGUUUAAGCCAAAAUUUGGACCUCUAUUUUAUGGUUUUUCAUUACAUAUUAGGAUAGAAUUCAUUAUAUCCGUAUCAGGACAAUUAUAUUAGAAAACUUAGAAUUUUCAUGGACAAGCAUUAUCGUGCACAUCUAGGCUUUUGGAGUGCAUUAUUAUUAAUUCUCUUUUUGCACGUUUCCUUUCAUAAAUCACAUACUAUAAUUUGGGAAAUCUAGGAAAAUCAUAUCUUGCUUAUUAAUAAAUUGAGAUUGCAUCUUCAUAAAAAUGUGAAGUGGAACUCCCCGCGAGUCACGAAGAGUCUUAUCGCCCCAUUCCUGCAUUUUUUUUCUUUAUCAGUUUUUUGCUGUUUUUCGUAUUUAGUUUUUCCUUUUGCUCUUUUUCCAUUUAUUAAACUUAUAUUCUGAAAAGAUAAAUGGAAAUCUAGACACAAUUCCAAUAGACAAGUACAAUAGAGAUUAAUGAAUGACUAAUCACAAUGUGAUUAAAAAUGACAAAAGUUGGACUAAAAUUAUAGUUUUGUUAAUUUGAGCAAGAGAAACAAUAAUCAGUGCCAAUUGUCAAUCACACAAAAAAAAGAAAAAAUCGGCACCCACGUAAUGCGUGGAAAGUCUACUAGUAAUGUAAAAGAGACAUUCGCAUGGGAACGGAAGAGGAGAGAUUUGAAAAGUGAAGUGAUAAAUCCAAUUUGCAUCUCCGUAAGUCUUGGUCUUUCUGGAUUUUAUUAAAUUUUCUUUCCAAUCAGCUCUUUACCAAUUUUGCUUCACUUUCACGACAAAAAAGUUCAUGAUAUCCACUGAAGUUCUGGUCUUCUCGAGUUUAUGAUUUACUUACACGAACGAGUAUAUGAUCGUGGAAACUACAAAUGUGCGGGGAUAAUCUCUAAAUAUUACAGAACAACCACUUGUGAAAGAAAAAGUUGCAGCAAGACGGGCGAAAAUAUCUGCUGAAAGGUGAUGAGUUAGUAACCGAUGAUGGGGAAUCGCCUAGAAAGAGAAUCAUGGUCCUUUGAACUCGAUUUUCCUGUUCAUUGGUGUGAUGAAUAAAGUAUAAUUUUUUAGUAGAUUAUACAUUGUCAUUUGGUGAUUUGUGACUUGUUCACUAUUUGCAUAGUAAAAUAAAGCAAGUUGCUUAAUGAAUUAGUAGGUAUGCUUGACCCUUUUUCUUAUUAAUCCCAAAGCACGUGUUUCCAUUCUUCUUAAUGGACAGACAAAGUUAAUUGUCUUUGAUGACAUGUAUAUGUAUAACAGAAAAUAAGAUGCAAUUAUUGGGUGAAUCCUCAAUAUGUUAUGUUUCAAAAGCAUUUAUUUUACUGAGUUGCACAAAUAUGUUUAUUUGCCAAUCGUAUUAAUUUGGUCAACUUCAUUCAUCGCUAAACAAGAAAAAAGCGAUAAUCACACUGACUAAUCCAUCAAGCAAGUUGCUUUCUCUCACUCUGGAAAUGGUAAAUGAGUCAAAUAUUAACAAUAUAUAAUUAACUAGAUGUCACACUCUACGAACUUGAUAAUUGUGUUCCUAUCAAGGUGAUUCUCGAUUAUCGACCGCUACCUUAGCACCCUUCAACAAAUCAUUGUUGCCCAUCUUGAUGUGAAUCUUUAGCAUGGUAACCGCCAUGUAAAAGAAUUCAUCAAUCUCACAUUCACCAAUAAAGCAAACAAAGACAUUGAAAUCAUAAGGUUACUAAGAAUAUACAGAUGCUAAAAAAGCCAACAAAACACUUGUGAGGGAUAACACUUAUAAUGAAAAUAUGCAAACACUCUAAGUUGGUCAUAUUAAGACUCUAUUUUGGAUGGCCAAAAGUAAAGGUCCGACAGUAAAAAAGACUUGAUCUGAAGAAUAAGGAGAGCAAUUGACGUAACAAACACUUGUGGACAAAUAGUAUUUUAUUUUAUUUCUAUUUGUCUAACCUUUGAUGUGCAUCCCUUUAAAGUCUGGGUCUUUUUUAAAUAUUUUUCCUAGGUCAUUGUCUUGGUCUUCCUAGACUUCAUAGUUUUUUUCUCUCCAUUAGCUCAUUUUCAAUUUGUUUCACCAUAACACCUUUAUUGUUCUUUACAGUAACUGAUUCGCCUAUGGCCAUUGGAGAGAUCGUUUUGGGUUCCUUUUUGGCUUCAUUCUUUCAGGUCCUAUUCGACAAGUUGACUUCGUCCACAUUAAGUUGUGCACAACGAGAUGGAAUCAACACCGUCUCACUUGAGGAGUGGAAGGAUAUGUUGGUAACAAUCAAUGCAGUGUUGGCUGAUGCAGAGAACAAGCAACUUAGUGGUAACCAUCAAGUGAAGCUAUGGCUAGAUAGGGUAAAGGACUUGGCCUAUGACAUGGAAGACUUGCUCGAUGGGUUUGCGAUAAAAGCUGCUCAUAUUGAGUUACAGGUAGAAUCUAGCACAAGUAGAAGUUUACAAAAAUUGAAGUCCCUUUUCUUAGGCCAACAACACUCGCUCGUGUCUAAAACCCAGAUACAAGAGAUCAAUUGCAGGUUGGUAACGAUUGUCACUGGAAAGGCUAAUCUAAGCUUCAGAGAGAAUGUUAUGGACAUAUCCAACUUCACCAGUAAAAGGGAUCCAACCACUUCUCUACCUGAGUCACAGUUUUUUGGUAGGGAGGAGGAAGAAGCACAAAUACUUGAACUAUUGAUAAAUGAUGUGCAUAAUUCUGAUGCCAUGCUAAGAAUAAUCCCCAUAGUUGGGAUGGGCGGUAUUGGAAAGACGGCCUUGGCUCAGCGGCUAUAUAAUGAUGCGGGAGUGAAUAGAUGUUUCAAUAGGAAAGCAUGGGUUUGUGUUUCGGAUGUUUUUGAUGUUUUUGACAUAACCAAGAAUAUUUUCCACUCAAUCACCGGGUUGUCAUGGCAGGACAACGAUCUUAAUGGGCUUCAAGUUAAGUUGAGGGACAAUCUAUCUGGGAAGAAGUUUCUUGUGGUUUUAGACGAUAUCUGGAAUGACAAGUACGAAAGGUGGACUGCCAUCUUGAAGCCAUUUGAAGCGGGGGCUAGGGGAAGCAAGAUCAUUAUCACGACUCGCAACCGUGCUAUUGCUUCCAUAACAAAAACGUUGCCGUAUUGUUUGCCGGGAUUGUCCCUUGAAAAUUGCACAAACUUAUUAGCCUUUCAUGCCCUUGGAGAAAUAAACUUUGAGAGCCACCCGGAAUUUGAAAAAAUAUGCAAGAAAAUAGCUAAAAGAUGUAAAGGUUUACCUUUGACAGCGAAGAUGUUGGGCGGUGCCCUACGUAGUAUAACGAAUCCCGAUGAAUGGGAAGAUACCUUAAACAACAUAAUAAGGGAUCUUGCAAUGGUAGAGAAUGAUGAGGUUCUCCCUAUUUUGACAUUAAGUUAUGUCCAUCUUCCUUCCUAUUUGAAGAGGUGUUUUUCUUAUUGUGCAAUAUUUCCUAAGGAUUAUGAAAUUGAGAGGGAUGAGCUCGUACUCUUAUGGAUAGCAGAGGGAUUUUUAGAUGGACAAAAGAAAAAGAAAAAUAAGUUGAAAUUAGGACGGAGUUACUUCAAUGAGUUAGUAUCUAGAUCAUUUCUUCAACAAUCAAGUGUUGACACAUCUAAGUUUUCAAUGCAUGACCUUUUGAAUGAUCUAGCAAAGUCGAUUGAGGGUGCAAUAUGCUUUAGCUCUGGGGAGUCUCAGGUGGUAGUUAAUGAAGAUGACGCAUCUCUUGGGAGAGCUCGUUAUGCAUCAUUCGUCUCAUCAAGGUUUGUUACAUCAAAAUGCUUAAGAGCAUAUCAUGGACUGAAGGUAUUAAGAAGUUUAAUUCUAGUGCAUGUUGGAUCUAGUCGGGGCCCAAAUAAGUUCUCUAUUUCCAACAAGGUGUUGCACGACUUGCUAUCAAACUUGAAGUACUUGAGGGUGCUCUCAUUAUGUCAUUGUGACAUCGUAGAGGUACCGAAUUGUGUUGGUGGAUUAAAACAUCUUCGAUAUCUCAAUUUCUCGUACACUGACAUCAAGAGGCUACCUGAGUCAGUUGUGGGCUUUUGCAAAUUACAAGCUUUGAUCUUAAGAGGUUGUCAUGAACUUUCAAUGUUGCCUCAAGGUAUCAUAAAGUUGGUCAGCUUACAAUUUCUUGAUAUUAGAGAUACAAAAAAUCUAAAAGAGAUGCCAUUGGGAAUUAGUAAUUUGAAGAAUCUUACUAUCUUGUCCAAGUUUGUGGUAGGAACAGAGAAAGGGCUACAGUUAAAGGAGUUAGAGAACUUGUCGCAUCUUCAAGGAGAAUUAUUCAUAUCAAAAUUGCAAAAUGUGAAAGACGUCAAAGAUUGUGUUGAUGCUAAGUUGUCAAGAAAGGAAGGCCUAAGCAACUUAUUCUUGCAAUGGGAUAAAGAUUUUAGAAAUCUCUGGAAUGAUAAGCACUAUUUCCAGGUGCUUGAUUAUUUGCAACCUCACUCAAAUCUUGAAAAUCUCACUAUCUCUUACUAUGGUGGUGCAGAAUUCCCGCCAUGGUUAAAUUGUCCCUCCUAUUCAAAGAUAGUGUCUUUGUGCUUCCUGAGCUGUCCAAAUGUCAUAUCGUUGCCCUCACUUGGACAGCUACCUUCACUGAGAGAAUUAUCUUUUGAAGGUCUCAAUGCAGUAACAAUAAUAGGUUCUGAAUUUUAUGGGGGUAAAAAGCCUUUUUCGUCCUUAAUCACUUUGAAGUUUAAAGAGAUGUUGACAUGGAAGGAUUGGUCUCCUUAUGCUAGGGCCCCAAAAGAAGAAGUCCCAUUAUGCUGUCUUCAGCAUCUUGUUGUCCGAAACUGUCCUUCGUUGGUCGGGACAUUGCCUUGUCAACUUGAUCGUCUUAUAAAGCUUGAAAUUCAUUCAUGCCAACAAUUGAAUAACUCGACCAGUGAGUUAUGUCUUCCAUCUCUCGAUGAGUUAUACCUUGAGGAUUGUAGUAAGGAGAUCUUAAAGAGCUUGUUCAAGCUAACUUCUUUGACAGUUCUCAAAAUUAACAAACUCAUGGAGCUUGUUUCCUUUGAUCAUCGGUUUAUGAGUUGCUUGGGCAAGCUAAGGAAGCUUCAUAUAGGACUGUGUGACAAACUAACAUGCUUGUGGCAAGAUGGAGAUGAAACGCAAAAUCUCACUUGCCUCCAGGAAUUAGUAAUAAAAAAUUGUCCUCAAUUCAUAUCUUUUGUGGCAGGAGACGGAGAGAUAGAGCUACCCUGUAAUCUUGAAAGGAUGGAAUUGGUGGAUUGCACAAGUUUAGAAAAUCUUCCAAGCAAGAUGCACGCACUCAAACAUUUGGUGAUCGAAAAUUGUCCAAAAAUCAUGGCUCUAAACAUUCCUCAAGGUGACUCGAGCAUCAAUAAUUCGAUUUCUCAACUUGAAUCUCUUAAGAUACAUCACUAUCAUUCUUCGAUAUCCUUUUCAUUUGCCAAGGGUAGACUUGCUCCUUUGAAGGCACUUCAUAUAGACAAUUGUGAGGGAGUGGAGUCAUUGGAAGGGAUUGCCGUAGAAUCGCUUGAAACAAUGACAAUUAACAAUUGUCAAAAUCUGAGAAGCUUACCACAAUGCCUUCACACGCUCUCUCAUCUCACUCAAUUGGAUAUUUGUUAUUGUCCAGCACUGGAGAUAGAGGACUUCCCUCCCCUUCCCGUAACCCUCUCGAGUCUUGUUCUUAAGCUUUGUUCUAAGAUAAAGUCUAUUGCCAACUGUAACAUUGCCAACUGUAACAAUCUCACUAAAUUGGUUAUAUGGAAGUGUCCGGUAUUGGAGAUAGAGGACUUCCCACCCCUUCCCAUCACCUUGCAGAGUCUUGAACUUUGGGAUUGUCCGAUGAUAAAGUCCCUGCCAAAUAAGUGGCAUCAUCUUAUGUCCCUCCAAAAGCUAAGAAUUUUCUUUUGCCAAAAUAUCAAAUGCUUCCCCAAAGGAGGUCUGCCUCCCAAAUUGCGAGACCUUGAAAUUACGAGGCUCGCGGCUCUAAAGCAGCCAGUGAGAGAGUGGGGCUUACCCCUGUUCACAUCUCUCGAGAGUCUGACCGUUGCGUUUAACAUGGGAGGGGAGGGAGAGAAGGAGUGGUUUCCUUUGGAGGAUAAGGAUGCUUGGAGUCUCUUUCCUUCCUCUCUAACCUCUCUUUCGAUAUAUGGUUUGAGAAAUACAGAAAGACUAUCAAGCGGUCUCCGCAACCAUCUCUCCUCUCUUCGAUGGUUUUUUAUUAGAGAUUGUCCCAAGUUGAGGUACUUGCCAGAGGAUGGCUUCCCUCCCUCCCUCCAACAAUUGCGCAUAGUUGACUGCAAGAUUCUGAAAGAGCGAUGUGCAAAACUCACUGGUGACUAUUGGCCCCUCAUCGAAGAGAUCCCUGAGGUUCACAUCUGGUGAAUUGAUUCGUGCAUCUACACUACAGUGAGUUUUCUUAGGGUUUGAGUAAGUUAUUUUUGGUUUUGAAGGCAUCCUUUUCCAUUCUACUUUCUCAAUUCGAUGCUCAAUACGAACUGAUGUUUGGGUGGGGAUUGCGUUGGGUUGGAUUGGCUCUAUUUCGUUGGACGAUGAACUGUAGGAUGAAACGCUCGCAGUGCUGCCUCUUGCUAUGUUGACAACAUAUCCUCAUUUCUGCUCGAUGCCCAAACCAUUUGUGAAUGAAAUCGCACCAUCACGAAGAAUCGUAGCAUUCCACAAUCAUAGUCCUCUGCAUUUUCAGCGUCUAUUGUUUGUUCUCUUCCCAACAUAUUUUUUCUUGGGCCCUUAAGCUCAUUCACUCUGGUUGUUUUGCAGAUACCAUUAUCAUCUUGCAUUGGCAGAAUCUCUUGGAAGGAUCACGUGUGAACGUUGCUAAGGUAGGGCUAAUGCUGUCGGUGUCAUUGUCUUGCUUCAUUUUUUUUUUUGCAAUUUAUCAAUAAAGGAAGAAGCAAUUAAAUAUAUUUGUUGCACUGCUAUGUUCUGAAUUUUCCUUUUGGUGAAUAUCAUCUAAAUAAGAACAAAUCUUUUUCAAAAUCUAAAAGGAUGAUUAGUUAUGUGGAAGCUAUGAUGUGAUUGUGAAGAAAAUGGAUGCGGUUUUUUCAUUUUAUGGUUUUCUUAAGAAUUGGGAACCUUCUUCUUCUUCUUCUUUUAUGAUGAUUCUUCGUAGUAUUAAGCAGUCAAUCUGGGAUAAAAUUCUGAGGCAGCUCAUGGCUCCAAGCUUUUGCGUGACAGCAUUGAUAUUCCAUAAAUUGCUUUCUAGUUGGGUCUUGAAUUUUGGUGGUUUAGGAACUGUUGCUCACAACUUGCUAGAAAUUUUUAGCAAAUAUACUUAUGCCUGUUUGGUUGAGAUUGUAAUGAUAGGCUGCCUACCUUUGGGUUUGCAUCAUUAGCGGUGACCUCUGGGUUGGCAUUUCCAUUUACUCGACCGCUAAUAUGAUUUCAUCAUACAUUGUGCCAUUGUAUCUUAAAAUACCUUCUCAUGUGGCAUUGUUCCCAAAAGGAGUUCCAGAACAAAAUGUUCGAGCUGACAUGGGUUCCUUUGGAGUAACCGGAAAUCUUGCGAUUCAACCAAUUUGUAUCUUGCCUGGUAUAUCUCCUCUCUCUGUGCUGGUGUUGCAUGUAUAAAUCUUUUGUUGAAGCAAUGUUCUUAUGACAUUGUGAAGCUCUAUUAAAAAUUAGAUAAUUUGUAAUCUGAAUUGUGGUUCGUUGUGUACUUUCUCCAAGGUUUUUUGGAUGUUAUUGCACAUAUAACAUGGUGCUUUGACCAUAUAAAUAGGUGGUUAGAAAAGCAAAGUGGCAUUUGCCAAGAUAACUUUCAAGCAACCUCACAUAGUUUUGCUUGAUGACCCAUCCUAUCAUUUGGUAAGUUCUACUCAUAUUUCUCCAUUUUAUGACUUUGAUUACUUUUUCAGUUAGCUUGUUAUUGUUCUUGCACUAAUUGAACUUGUCAGAAUCUGGUUUUUACAUUAAAAAUAUAGUAGAACCAAAUGGUGGUCACGGCUGCUAGUAGCCCUUAUCAUCAUACACUAGCAAAUAAUGGAACAUAAACCAAUCUAAUUGUUCCAAUGUGGAAAAUAUUCGGAAUAAAGCAAUCUACAAUACCAAAUGGUACUGAUCUUUGUGCCUAUAGGCAGUAUUGGGCUUUACAUACAAAUAUGUGGACCCCUUUUUGUUUGUAAAUCUGGUCUUUAAGUUUUGCUUUAAUGACCAGUGACUAAAGAAUUAUCUUUGUAAAUUGUUAGUUUCUUGUCUAAUAAUUAGUGUUUUUGUUUUUUUUUUGCCUAUCCACACCUGUAGGAUUUGGAUGUGGCUGAGGCGCUCAUUCAAGGUCUGGUCUUGUUCCAAGGAUUAAUUUUGAUGGUGAGAUUGAUUUUCUUGUCAAAAUACUUCAAUUUGACCAAUGAUGGUGAGAGUGCUAGUAUGAACAAAAUAAAGGAGUUAGGGAAGAGAAUAAGAACACAAGAUUUAUAGUGGUUCGGCUUAAUCCAAGCCUACGUCCACUCUCCCACGAUAACAGCCUUCUUGGCUGGAUUCCACUAUGCAAUCAACAAGAAAUUACAACUUCGAGUGCAAACACUUAGUAGUAGAUCACACUAUCUCACUAAGUCACUCUUUUGGUAUUCCUCUCUCGAUUACAAACGUUUAAGCUCUCAAGAGACAAGUAUAUGAUCAAAAGUCGCUCAGACUUUGGAAUUAUAAAUUCUACGCUCCGUCUCUUACUUGCUCAUCGGUCCAUGAUCUCCUUAAAUACUCCUCCACUUCCAAACUACCCGUUGGACAGUAUCCCGGAGAAUCGUCUUCCAAUAUACCCAUUGGACAGCUCUGUAUCUAGAAGAUUUGGUAGCCGUUGAGUGACAAAGGUAAAAUCCCAAAUUGAUUCCGAUCGCCCAUACAAACGAAAUCUUGGUUUCCAUAAGUAAAGCUUCUUCAUAUAGAAAGUUCUUGUCUUCAAGAUCCAAUCGUCAAUCAAAUAGAUUGAAUCAAUCAAAUCAAUCUUGAUGUGGAAUCCAAACCAGAUCACUAGCCGUUAUAUGAUUGGGCUUGAGUUACGAUCUGUCGAGUCUUGAUGUAAAGUCUGAGAGCAAUAAACUUUACAAUCUGAGUCUGAGUGCGAUAGACUUUACAAUCUGAGUCUGAACAUAUUCUGCUUCUGAACAGAUUUAGCUUUAAGGUUUGUAUCCAGUUCAGCUUCAGCAUAGAGUCUGUCUUCUAGUUCAUCAUUCACGUUCAGUCUAGAAUUAGUUAGAGUUGACAGACUUCUGAUGUAGAACAGACUUUGACACUAAAGUCUAGCAGUCUUCAGACUUUGACACAGAAGUCUGGAAAUCUUCAGAAUAUACUUUGGACAUAUGUUACGUUCAGUCUUCUGGUCAUCUUCGCACUUUGACAAUAUCCUUUACAUGUUCUAUCAUCUGCAUGGUCUAUUACUCAACCAUCAAACAUGUUAGUAGCCUUUGAUUUAUUUUGUCAUCUUCAAAACAUCAUAAGGGAUUUCUCUAACAAUCUCCCCCUUUUUGAUGAUGACAAAACAAUAUCUGAAUAUGCAGAUUUGUAAACAUACUUUUAAAUCAAAGGAUAUCAGAAGAUAACAAAUAGAUUGAGCAUAACAAUAUAUAGAAAAAUAAUCACAGCUCAAUAUUAUGCCAUAGAUAAUAUCAACCAUUCAACACAUGCAUAUUCAUAUCUUCUCUCCCUUUUUGUCAUACUCAAAAAGUGAUAAUAAUGGAAAAAGUAUCACGUAGAGAAUGAUAACAAAUAUUUUGCAUGAAUCACAAUUUCCAAAAAUCAGCUUUUAUAAAGUAAAUCGAAUAUUAAAGAUAUGCAAUAUAGCUCACUUUGAUCAUAUAUAUAUCAACAAAUAUCCAAUAAAAAUCACGGAUGCAUCAUGAAAUUCACGUACACUUUUUGUCAUAAUAAAAUGAUAAUAUCAGUAAGAGAUUUGUUAAUGACAAAAGGUAAUAACAGAUGCACUAACCGGAUUUCUUUUUGGAACAAAUUCUGACACAUUUACCUUUCAUUCCAUCCAUAAUAAGAUCACGAUCAAUUCAAAAAGAUUUUUCCAAAAUUGAUCAAAGCUCCCCCUCAAUUUGUUGCCUCUUUGAGAUGAUCACGAUUCUUUUCCUUUUCUUUUGGAUUUGCUUUCUCCCCCUCGAUUUCCUCAUCGAAUUAUGAGUCUGUGUCUAAGUCAGACUCUGAUUCUGAGUUUGCGUCUGAGUCAGACUCAGAUUCUGAAUGUGCUAUUAAGCAUAAAUUUCAUUUCCAUCAAAAUAUGGUGGCCUUGUGUUGCUUUGCCCUUCCAUAAGACCUAGUGCCAAGAUACUAGCCAUAAAGAAUCUUUAGCUCAAAAGUAAAAACACUUUUAUAAACUGAGCACUUGGCUCUGAUACCAAUUGAGAAUGCUAGUAUGAACAAAAUAAAGGAGUUAGGGAAGAGAAUAAGAACACAAGAUUUAUAGUGGUUCGGCUUAAUCCAAGCCUACGUCCACUCUCCCGCGAUAACAGCCUUCUUGGCUGGAUUCCACUAUGCAAUCAACAAGAAAUUACAACUUCGAGUGCAAACACUUAGUAGUAGAUCACACUAUCUCACUAAGUUACUCUUUUGGUAUUCCUCUCUCGAUUACAAACGUUUAAGCUCUCAAGAGACAAGUAUAUGAUCGAAAGUCGCUCAGACUUUGGAAUUAUAAAUUCUACGCUCCGUCUCUUACUUGCUCAUCGGUCCAUGAUCUCCUUAAAUACUCCUCCACUUCCAAACUACCCGUUGGAUAGUAUCCCGGAGAAUCGUUUUCCAAUAUACCCAUUGGACAGCUCUGUAUCUAGAAGAUUUGGUAGCCGUUGAGUGACAAAGGUAAAUUCCCAAAUUGAUUCCGAUCGCCCAUACAAACGAAAUCUUGGUUUCCAUAAGUAAAGCUUCUUCGUAUAGAAAGUUAUUGUCUUCAAGAUCCAAUCGUCAAUCAAAUAGAUUGAAUCAAUCAAAUCAAUCUUGAUGUGGAAUCCAAGCCAGAUCACUAGCCGUUAUAUGAUUGGGCUUGAGUUACGAUCUGUCGAGUCUUGAUGUAAAGUCUGAGAGCAAUAAACUUUACAAUCUGAGUCUGAGUGCGAUAGACUUUACAAUCUGAGUCUGAACAUAUUCUGCUCUUGAACAGAUUUAGCUUUAAGGUUUGUACCCAGUUCAGCUUCAGCAUAGAGUCUGUCUUCUGGUUUAGCUUCAGCAUAGAGUCUGUCUUCUGGUUCAUCAUUCACGUUCAGUCUAGAAUUAGUCAGAGUUGACAGACUUCUGAUGUAGAACAGACUUUGACACUAAAGUCUGGCAGUCUUCAGACUUUGAGUCUUGAGUCUGGCAGUCUUCAGACUUUGACACAGAAGUCUGGAAAUCUUUAGAAUAUACUUUGGACAUAUGUUACAUUCAGUCUUCUGGUCGUCUUCGCACUUUGACAAUAUCCUUUACAUGUUCUAUCAUCUGCAUGGUCUAUUACUCAACCAUCAAACAUGUUAGUAGCCUUUGAUUUAUUUUGUCAUCUUCAAAACAUCAUAAGGGAUUUCUCUAACAGAUAGAUCAUUUCACAGCUAAUAGCCCUCUUUUCACCUUGAUUUGCAGGUUGGUCACGGUGAGCAUCUAAUAGCUAGAAGCUUGGAUGAGGUAUGGGUGGUUACAUGGCAAGGUGGCACCUCUCCAUGGGAAUUUCUAGGACUAUAGGAAUGUACUCCUAUUUUUAUUGAAUCAAGUGAAUCUAGUUAUUGCCAUCGACUAAGAGUGGUUUAGUGGGUUCACAUUACCUCACAAAACAGAAAAUGAGGCUUAGCUACAUAGAGAAAGCAAAAAACGAUGAAGAGAGCAUUGUUGUUGAUAUACAGGACAGGCUCACAGUUACACCAGCCCUUAUUUGUCAUUUAUACUUGACAAGGGCUUGUGGAACGAUGGGUCUAAGUUUUUGACAUCGAGCAUACAGUAUCAUUUGCAAUAGCUUAAGAACUGAGUUGGGAUUGUAUUACUGGUAUAAUUUAUUCUUUCUUGCAAAUUUUAUUCUAGCAAUAUGUUCAUUUGUUGUGCCCCUAGAAGUUUGAUACUCUGUCGCUGUGGAAGCCAGCUUUCCCAUACAUGGUAAAAUGAUUUAAUCAUUUGCAAAAAAAUCUUUUUAGCACAGUAAAUUAUUUUGUAAGACAAUCUAUUUUUGUAUGAAUAUAUUUUCCCUAUUUUCAUUCUUUGCAUUGUUCAGGAGAAUUAAUUAUGAAAAUAUUAUCACGGUCAACAAAACUUUAUAUUCAACUCUAAGUACAGAAUUGCGUUGGCUAAUUAUAAUGUAGGCCUUGCGUAGUCAAAAAAAUACUUUAAUGAAAUUCCAUAUAAAUACCUGGAUUUGUUAGAUAAUAUCCUUUUAAGAUGUUCAGGUCAUCAUUGAAAAUAAGAAGCUUUCUUUCUCCCAACUGCUACGGUGCAGAUGGACAAACGGAACUGAUAACAGAGGUUUGAGUAAGCGAAUGUGACAGCUAAAUUCUGAAUGAGCCUGCAGGUGAAAACAUGUUAGUAAACUGGUUGCCUGGUCAAAGAUUGAAUUUCAUUUUCAUUUUAUUCAAAUACCCACUCCACUCCAUCUCUUGACAACAAUUUUAGCGGUCCUACAUAUUAUAUUUCCUGUGCAGGACGGGGAACGGGAGGGAGGAUCAAUAGCCGUGGCUACCCUCUGGAUGUUUCUUUGAGGACUUGCGUCUGCUAUGAGAUAUUCUGAUUCCAAGAAGAUCGUCAGUUAGCGCCACUCAUAAUUAACUCCUUGAAGUGGGCAAGUCCCACCACUUUUACCCCCAUCGAGGUGCUGAAGGUUCAGAACCAUUCACUCGUGACAAGAUACACGCACUACCAUUGCAAAUGGUUUCAAUCUCAUGAGCUCACAUGUUGAAGAUAUACCUUGAAUUCAGGUAAAUGAAGGGAAUUUGAUCCAAAAAGGAAAUGUGCUACUAUGGCUUCCUUGAUAUACAAUUUUGAGGAAUACUGUUACAUGAGUUCUAUUAUUGGACACUUCUGUUACAUUAUAAAGUUGUUGCCUGCUAUAUGAGGUUUUUGCCAUGACAAUCAUUUCCAUGUUGAGGAGCGAAACUGUUUUUCUACUUCUUCAUCGUCAGACCCGGCUUGAGACACUGUCUCACGAACUACUUUUAGCAGAGACUUUUGAUCUGGAGCUGCUGCGAAUUGAGCUUGAUGUUGACAUUUGUGGAGGAAAAAUUGAGGUUGUCCUGGUAGUCUGUGGCUUUGGCCAAGUAGGAUCUGCAGCGAAACAUACCUGCUUCUUCAUUUGCAAAUUGAGUGGCGAAUUUUGCCCACCAUUUAAUUUUUUAGUUGUCUUUCGAGAAUAGGACACUCACGGUCGACUGGACGAGGUCUAACAUGCGAACAAUUAUUUUCAGGUCUGAUAAUAUCUGACAUGUAAAGAUGAAGAGGUUCUUGAAGAGGCCUAAUUGUUACCGAAAAUCAUUUCUCCGUGUAUGGAGCUUAAUUCUUCUUUUUUAGAGACUUGACAUUUUUGGCUCGGUAUUUUAUUAGGAUCCUUGACAUUGGUUAUGAGUAAUUUUAAUAGAGUCUGUAUCAACGAGAAUGAAUUCUUAAUAAAGUUUUGGUUAUAAGAUGAUGAUCUGCAAUAUAAUGAAUAUCCGGAGGGAUGUCACCCCGCAUUAUUUUAUGAUUGAUCUUUGAAAAGGUCUUCUAGGAUUCUAUUUGUUUUGAGAGAAACAUUUCAAUAAGAAAAUGUUAUUUUCAUUUUUCGCUAUUUAGUGUGAUAAAAAGAGCCGGUCAAAGGAAAUUACUUUAGUCAAUCAGAAAAUCAAAUGAAAAAAGAAAAUACAUUUUUUAAUUUAAAAAGUUGAGUACGAAAAUAAUACAGAGGAAUAUCUACACGGGAAAAGAGGUGUCACGGUGUUGUUCUAUUGCGGUCCUUCAUCCACCACAUAUUUCAAAAAAUACAAAACCAGGAAACUCUAACGGCUAGCAAUCGGUUUUAUGAUAUAUUCAGAAAGUUUGGCACAAGAUUGUAAGACGAACUAUUUUGAAGGGGAAAAAAGAGUAGUCCCUCUAAUUUGCUGGUACAAUAAAGUGGUGUUUUCUUAAUUUAAAUAGUUGGGAUCACCACUCAAAUGAUUUUCAUUUUAGUUAUUGCACAGAUUUUCUUUUGAUUGAUUAGUUUAACGCCAUUUUCUUUUUUUCGGUUGAAAGUUUGACGCCAUAUUGAUUUGGUUCCUUUGGUGUAACUAAAAAUUUUGCAGUUCAAGCAAUGCAUACCUUGUCUAGUAUAUCUCCUCCCUUUCUACUACCGUUACAUAUAAUUUUGUUUGUCUAAUCACUCUCAUAGCUCUUUAUUAUGUAUGAAAGAUAAUUUUAAUUAAUUUUCUUUUUUGGAUUUUUUAUUUUUUCUUAUGUUCAUCUCGCACCUUAUGUUGUUCUUCUUGUCGAAGAGUCUCCGAUACAAAUGACGGCAUUAUUCAAAUUUGUGUUGGUUGAUAAUGAUGGCAAUUAGCAAAAGCCAGGGAAUUAAAGAAAAAUUUGGGGCUUUUACUUUGUUUUUCAAUACAUAUUUUUAUUUUAUUUUUGUGACUGAAUAAUUUUGGAGUUGGUUAUUAAUUGAAGCAAGAAAUUCUCGACUAGCACCAAGAUGCAAAAAAAAAAAAAAAAUGCAAUUUCUUCACAUUUUGUAUGACAGGACAAAAAUUUCUUAUCUGGAAAAAAAAAAACAAGAUCAUUACACCGUAUACUUUCACAAUAGACAUCAAUUUACCCAGACUCCUUUGGAAUAGCAUCUUUAUAGAUUUAGAAUGUUGUAUGAUACGAUAUGAGGAUCGGAAGCCCGAUAGAAUUAGACCUGAAUAAAGUAUAUUGUAUCAUACGCAUACAAACUGUAAUAGCACAAAAACAAUGUGCAGCCAAGCAGGAAAUUCUCAACGAGUAAUAUCACGCUGAAAUGCUUUCUGAGUGCCGCCGAUAGCUCUGCGGUUCCGGUCUCAAUUCGUCUUGAAUUUACUUUAUUCAGUUGAAGUUUCUCAAUCUCACUUAAACUGGUGCCAAUCGUAACAAAAAGCCUCCCUUGACGACUUCAUUAUCGUUCGUUUUUGUCACUGCCUCCACCUUCGGUUUCUAUCACUUUCGUUCUCCGACGGGGGAGAAUAGUCGUGACUGAAACUAAGAUAGAACUCGGAUUCUUCGCUUCGAGCUCUUCAUCACAAUAUUGAAGAUAAGUUCUCUCUCGCUCUCUGGUUUCAUUUUUCAAUUCAAGCAACAGCAUUGAUUCUCGGCCCUUUUCUGAAUCUCCAGUGGCUUCCUUAUCGACUUUCCUUCACCAUCGCCCUCCGGACACCGUUGGUACACACCGGUCGUUCCCGUCCGAAGUUCUGUUCGCCCCUGUUCUCGGUCAUCAUUGCUGAAGCGCUCGAACUGCAGUCAGCAUGUCUCUCAUGACGAUUCCAGUUCACAAAGCUGCUUCCACGAUCACCUUACUAAGGUCCAAUCAUGAAUCGCAACAGGUAAUUAUCCUCUAUCCAAUCAAAUCACAUAUGCUCUGUUUCAUGGUGUUCUACGUACAAACCACUGCCUGGGUAAAAAUCAAUUAUGACUGAGCCUGUGUUAAUGGUUUGAAUUUGCUACGUUGCUUUGUGAUGAUCUCGUUCACAUACAUGUACUGUAUUGACAUCCAUAUUUGAUUUUCAUAUCUGAUUUUGUAGUGCGUUCUUGAUCUGAGACAUUUUACAGUAUGUUUGUCGACUUACUUUUGUCAAUUGGUUCAAUGCAGGUAUAGAAAAAGUCGAGUCUCGACAUGUUGUGCUGAUCAACGAACCUGUGUUUGGAUUUGCUGGAACUAGCUCAUACCUGACUGGUAAUGUUUAGCUCAUUGAUAUGGUGUUGGGUUGUUUAAUUACUUUUCUCUGCUAAAUCCUACCUGCGAGAUGUUUCGCUCGUGUAUCCCAUUUUAGAACUGAACAUCUCAGCGGAUUGCAUAAAUGGUCGUAGUUUGUCUGCCGCUGCGUCUGUAGAUCAUGUGGCCACGGGAAAUGCACUCUUACAGAUUCAAGCAGUAUGCAGAAGGCUUCACUAGGUGACCAUUGUAAGCUCGAUGAAAGUGCUCCCAGAAGCCCCGAUAAAACCAAGUAAUGAUCUUCUUCGGUAACCAGAAAGUGAGACGGAGUCGCAGCAACGACCAUCUAGUUCGUGAAUAAUUCCCCCAGAAAUGAAAAAUAGAUACAAGAGAAUCUUCUCAAGUAUUAAGGAAAGUACAGAGUAAUAACAACUAUCAGAGGGAAAGGUCACGAGUUUCUAUCUUCAGACUGCUGGAACAUACAAAUUGAAUGCUCUCAAAGGAGAUCUGAUUUUUCAUUAAAAAUCCUUCAAAAACAACGACAUACCUUGGAAGGAUUGAUCUAGAUGUCAAUCAUCUUUUGAAUAAAAAUGCAGCUGAGUCUUGAAAGGCCCAAGACACCUUGAACAAAGUAGACCAUCACAACUGCAAUAUUGUCUGGGGACAAGUCGACCCCAAAAAACUUAUUGAACUUGUAUAGCUUUUUUCCCUGCGAAGAACAUUUUUACUGGAAGUGCUUGUUUCUCUGUCAUUGUUUGCUGUCAACAUAUCCCCAUUUCCUGCCCCUGGAUUACCGACGGAGACAGAUAAGGAAAAAACAGCAUCAGAGCAGUAGUGGCAUUGGGGAAGCAGCAUCACACUUUUAUUGAUAAUGUUUGAGAAAUGAUUGUAACAAGCUAAUUAUGCUCCUGACUAGAAUUCGACAGCUGCCAAAAUGAAUAACAAGGAAAAAAGCCACUUCAGGUCAGUGACCCUUCACAGAGGAGUCCACUUCCAGAGUCCAUUUCCAACGUAAGUCGUGAAACUCCAUCACUUCACAGGCCGACACAUUUUUCAUGUUCCAAAAGAUUGAGCAGUUGAGAUAAUGCGCUUGCAUUCUCCACCCAACCAAGAAGCAGCACAUAUUUGCCCAUAAAAUCGAUAUUUCAGCAGGUUUCACUUCACUUGAACGGUACUUUACAAUGCUCGAAGAACACUUUCAUCUCUACUUGUGCAACUUCAACUAGACCGGAGAGGUGACAGAUCAGUUCAACUUAAAUCAGAGAUGAGCACAAGCAAAGAUGAUCGGCCAAGAGGACCAAUCUACCGCAGCAUGAAUUGAAUUAUACCCAUCACCAUUUAACCAGUUAAACCCACAACAACUUCAUCGCCACCGUCACGUCAAGCAGACUCACAAGUCCUUCAGACCAACAUAAACCCAAACAAGCAAAACCCAUAAAUGGUUACCAAACAAACAUCCGAAAUUCAAGAAUCAUCUUCCACCUACGCUCAAUCAAACACCAUAAAUUCCUCAAGGAUAAAACGAAUGCGUCAACGAUUGGGGUAAAUUGGCGAAAACAAUCAUUGGGUAAGAAAAAAUCGACGCAAUGAAAUUUACCCAUAGAAUUCAGCAACCGGUCAUGAUCCUCGUCCCACCGGCGAGGGGCCGCCGGCAUCUGGACGGCGGUGGACAUGUCGUUACCCGGCGGCGGCCGCGGCUGCACCGGCGGGUUCUUCCGGUGAGCUCGUCUCCGGUGCCGGGCGACGAGGUUGGACGAGUUCCUGCGAAUGCGGGACGAGAUGAGGAGAGCAGGGCAGCGGGAGAUGGAGGAGAAGGGUCGGAUCUUUGGGGAGGGCAGUUCGGAGAAGGAGAGGGUUGUAAGGAUUGCCAUUAAAAUAGAGAUAAAAGGUUUCGACUUUAAUUUCUUCGAAAAUUCUGUAUGGCUUCUGUUUUUAUUUUAUUUUGUUGUCUCCCAGUUUCGCGGGGUUUUGGUUGGUUGGAAUUGGAGUGAACUGUCCUCCUCCUCUUGUGAUAUUAUGCACAGAUCUCUCCACAAAAUUAAUUUGCUUCAGUACACUUUGUAAUUCCUUAGGAAUGUAAUACGUAAUUGAUUGUCCGAAAAGCUAGUCUUGGAUAUUUUUCACGAAGAAGACCCACUUUGUACAUAAAAAUUAUUUCCCUUUUAUAAAAUCCACUAAAAUCAGAAAGUUUACUUGGAUUAGAUUUUUUUUUUUUAAGGUCAAAUUCGAGAUGUAAUCUUAGUAUUUUAUGAUUUUGAAUCCAUGCAAAUCCAGUCAAAAAUAAAAAAAGAAAGUAUAAUUUAUCUUUGAUCAAUACUAGUUUAAUUUAUGUGUCUCAACUGCCCACAAACAUAAAAUGAUAUAUAUCUUCUUUUCUUUGUAGAUGCUCAAAACCAGUGAUGAAAUUAUUUAGAAUAAAACAAAACUUUGAAUUUUCUUUUUAGAUUUUUUGGCUUACUUAAUUGAAAAUUCAUUUUACCAUCCAUUUUCAACAAGGUAGUAUAGGGUAGCUUGAAACUCAUGAAACCAAGAGAUUUUAAGCAAGUUCAAAAUGUUCGUGAGAUAAGUUUAGAUUUCAAAAACUUAAAAUUGAUACCUACAUCAUAAGUUAAGAUAGUGAUCUAUAAGUUUAUAAGUAAUUGUGAGAGGAUGGCUCCCCUACCUCCCCUAUUAAGUAUUCCACAUUGAGUAAGAAUCCAAAAUAUCAAUACUUGAAAACUAACCGGAAAUUAUUGGUAUCUCAUCCAAGAAAUCAUACUUAUUGAAAUUGAUUGAGUUCAGAUCUCAUGAGAAAAUUUCUCUCCAUUGUUUGAUUACUUACAUUAAUGGUAGUAACGUGCUCUAAUUAAGAUUAAUAUGUAUGAUGGUUUUCAAAGCCAAUCUAAGAACCUCUCUUACCUCUAAUAAAAGCAGCUAUUUUUUUUUUUUUUUAACAGCAGCUACUUUAAAGAUGCAAAAACAGGGGCUCUCAAGUUGGCGAAUCUAACAGCUAAAUUCGAAGUAAGCCUGAAGAUUAUAAUCCAUUUAAAUAUGACUUCUUUCUAAAGUUCACAACCCGUCUUUCUUCUAUUUAAUUUUCCACAUAAUCUCAUACCAACGGUUUUAUUGGUCCCAGUCCCACAUUUUCUUUUCCUUUGUUGUAAAGGGAGGGUGGAGAGUAGCAUUCAAGGUGACCAUGCUCUAUUUCCCUUUUUCUUUUCUUUUUUAAGUGCGUUAUUGCUCUAUUGAGUUGUCAUAAAAAAGCUCACCCCUGCCAUAAGGUAUUCCGAUGUAGAAUUGUGAGAAGGUUGUCAUCCAAUACCACUUGCAACCGAAUUAUCUUGCAUAGACAAGUCCAGUUACAAGAAGCACACCAAAAUCACUUGAGGUCCUCUUGUAGGCAAGAUAAGAUACACGUUGCUAUCCUCGUCGGUGGGUUAUCUUUAUGACCCAACACUUCUGAAAUCAUCACGUCAUACCAUUAGGUCGACAUUACUGGGGAUCUAUAGUCUCCCAUAACUCUACAUUAAUAUAAUCAAAAGGGCUAUUCAAGAAAAAAAAAAAACAAAAUGAUCAAAAGGGUCACUCAUUUAUGAGACUUGGAAUAGGAAGUACCCUGAUAUGUCUUUUUCGUAGGUUUUUGGUUGCUUUCGUGUGAGUAUGAAUACAAUUGUUUGUCCAAUUACUCUUAUAAUUAUUUAUUUACAUGACAAAAUAAUUUUUAACGGGGGCAACUUGAUUUUCUCAUCAUAGAUUCUUUAUUUAUUCUCAUUUUUCUCUCACUAACAAGCUUUGGGUGGAAUUUGAAGAGUCCAAAAUGAUUGAUUGAUAUGAAAUUUUUGCAUUGAUGAUCGCAAUUGGCAAAAAAAGGGAAUUAAAAAAAAUUCUAGGGCCUAAUUAUUAUUUCAAGUGGUAUAAAGUGGUCUUUAGUUUAUUUUUCAUAUAUACACCUCUAAGUAUAACAUUGACACUACUAGAAGAAAGCAACUAUCAACUAAUUAGCGCUCUGCUUGAUUAACUGAAAAUUUAGUAUUUUCAACUGGUUUUUUAGAAUUAAUUUUCAAGUAAAUGAUAUUUUUUUUCAGCGUUUGGUAAAAAUUUGAAAAUGAAAAAAAAAUUAUUUUAUGCUGUUUGGAUAAAAAAUUAGAUAUCAUUCUCUUAUAUGGGCAGGGAAAGUGGUUUGGGCCAAAUAUUUCUUCACAUUUUUGGUCCAACAUUCUCCUAUUCUUCUUCUUACCACUUUCUUUUAUCCCUUCUUCUCUGCCCGGCACCGUGAAAAGCUAAACACCAUUCAUUCACACCGCAGCCAUGGUAGUCACAGAAUACAAAGUCAAAUGGUGGCGACUAGGUGGCAGAAAAGCUCGAGAAGCCCCUCCUACCCACAUUUUUCGAUUACUUGGCCAUCCGAUUGGUGAAAUUUCCUCCGCCCUAGCUUUCUUUUUCUUUUUUCCUGAAUUUUUGCUGGCUGUGAACGGUGGCGGUGGCGGUCGUGGUGAUCGAGUCUGUGGUGGUGCUUGUUAUUGCGGUUGGGAAUGGUUUUGAAGGAGGAGGGUUCAAUGGGGUUGGGGAUUUGGGUCUGUUUGGUGAUCGAUGGCGGCGGUGGAUGAUGAUGGUGUGUAAAUGGGAGGGUGGCAUUUGCGUGUGUUUGCAGAGGAGAGGAGACGGAUGAUGAUGAAAUUGGUCUGCGAUAGUGAGAGGGGUAAGCAGCAGUUUUAGAUUUUAUGAUCUGAAAUUAUUCUCCUCAAUUUUGAGGCAUGGCUUUUCCUCUCAGUGGAAAUUAUUUUCCUGGACCAACUAAACUUUUAGCAUCAAACAAUAGAAAAGAAGAAGAAGAAGAAGAUAUUCACUUAGGAAUGGAAGAGGAGAGAUGUGAAAGGCAAAGCAACAAACCCAAUUGGCGUACUGCAAAGUCCUGGUCUUCCUGGAUUUCAUUGAAGUUUCGUUCCCACAGAGGGAUUGAACACGACUUUCCUGUUCAUUAAUGUGAUGCUUAGAUAGUUAUUAUUCCAUUGAUUAUAUGUUAUUCGUUAGUGAUUUUUUAACUCAUUUACUGUUUCCAGAUUAAAAAAAACCAAGCUGCUUAAUGGAUUAGUUAGUGUGCCUGACUUGUAGAUUGGUAGUGCAAAGAGCGUGCUUUUGUUUUCCUCAUCGAAUAUACAAAGUUAGCUGCCUCUGAUAACUUGUAGAUGUGUAACAAAAAGUCUUUGUCUUCGAAUAAGAUAUCUGGGGAUAAUCUCUAAACAUUAAGAGAGGAGAAGUUUUGGGCAAAAAGUAUUUUACCUUGAUAUCUAACCAUUGAUGUGUAUCCUUGGAAGUCUUGGUCUUUGUUUAAUGUUUUCGAGAGGUGAAAGUCUUUCUCGCCAUCGCUUCACUUCACCAUAACCCUUGCUGUUAUAUACUGUGACUCAUUCACCCAUUUUAUAUCUCCAUUAGCUCAUUGUCACUUUGCUUCACCAUAACCUGUGUUCUCUACAGUUGACGGAUUCACCCAUGGCCAUUGGGGAGAUCCUUUUGAGUGCCUUCCUUUAGGUCCUGUUCAAGAAGCUGGUUUCUUUAGGACUAGACUAUAUGCAAAGGGAAGGAGCAUUGCCCUUCUCUGGAAUCAGCAUCGACUUGCUCAAUAAAUGGGGGAAGAUGCUGGACACAAUCAAUGCAGUGCUGGAUGAUGCAGAGGACAAGCACUUGAGUGGUAAUGGUUUAGUGAAGCUAUGGUUGGACGAUAUUAGGGAUCUGGCCUAUGACAUGGAAGACUUGCUUGAUGAGUUUGCCAUCAAAACCGCUCAGGCCAAGUUGGAGGUAGAAUCUAGCACAAGUGGAGGUGAGUGAAGUUCUAUUUGUUUAGCCAACAUAAAUCUUCUAGAUCCAAUCCAAACCCAAGCUUGCUCGUGUCUAAAACUAAGGUUCAGAAGAUCAAUGGCAGGUUGGAGGACAUUGUUGCCAGGAUGGCUUAUCUAAGCUUGACAGAGAAUGUUGUGGGUAGAACUGACUUCACCAACAAAAGGCCCCACAACAUUUGUCUAUCAGAGACUCGUUUUUUUGGCACGGAGAAGGAAGAAGCGAAGAUACUCAAAUUAUUGACUGGUGAAGCUGAAAAUUCUGAUGCCAUGUUGAGCAUAAUCCCCAUAGUUGGGAUGGGUAGUGUUGGAAAGACGGCCUUGGCUCAACGGCUGUAUAAUGAUGCCAACGCAAGCGGCUGCUUCGAGAGAAGAGCAUGGGUUUGUGUUUCGGAUGUUUUUGAUGUUCUCAACAUAACAAAGGCUAUUUUGUGGUUGAUCAUCGAGUUGUCAUGCAAGGACAAAGAUCUCAACUAGCUUCAAGUUAAGUUGAAGGACAGUCUAUCAGGGAAGAAGUUUCUUGUGGUUUUAGAUGAUGUCUGGGUAUGGGGAAUGGACUGCCCUCUUAAAGCCAUUUGAAGCAGGGGCUAAGGGAAGCAAGAUCAUCAUCCCAACUCGAAAUAGUUCGGUUGUUUCCUUAACAUGAGCUUCGCCCCAUCCUUUGAAGGAGUUGUCCAUUGAUAAUUGUACAAGCUUAUUAGCCUUUCAUGCUCUUAGAGCAACAAAUUUUGAGAGGCACCUUGAUCUUGAAACAAUAGGCAAGUAAAAAGCUGAAAAAUGUAAAGUUUCACCUUGGCAGUGAAAGUGUUAGGUGGUCUCUUGCAUAAUAAAGGGAAUCUUGAUGAAUGGGAAGUUAUCUUAAAUAAUAGAAUGUGGGAUAUUCUGAUGGGAAAAAUGAUGAGGUUCUCCUAGUUUUGAAUUUGAGCUACAAUAGGCAAGAAAAGAGCUGAAAAAUGUAUAGUUUCACCUUGGCAGUGAAGGUGUUAGGUGGUCUCCUGCAUAAUAAAGGGGAUCUCGAUGAAUGGGAAGUUAUCUUAAAUAAUAGAAUGUGGGAUAUUCUUAUGGGAAAAAAUGAUGAGGUUUUCCUAGUUUUGAAUUUGAGCUAUGUCCAUCUUCCCUGUUAUUUGAAGAGAUGUUUUGCUUAUUGUGCAAUGUUUCUCAAGGAUUACGAAAUUGAGAGGGAUGAGCUGGUACUCUUGUGCAUAGUGGAGGGCUUUUUAGAUGGACAAAAAAGAAAGGAGAAUAACUUGAGAUUAGGAUGGAAUUACUUCGAUGAGUUAGUAUGCAGAUCAUUUCUUCAAGAAUCAAGUGUCAUUGCAUCCAAGUUCUCAAUGCAUGAUUUUUUGAAUGAUCUAGCAAAGUCAAUUGUAGGUGGGACAUGCUUUAGCUCAAAGGAGUCUUAGCUAGUAGGAAAUGAAGACAAUGCGUCUCUUGUGAAAGCUUGUUAUGCAUCAUUCAUCUCGUCGUGGUCUGUUACAUCAAAAUGCUUGAGAGCGUCCUACCAAAUGAAGGUACUAAGAAGUUUAAUGCUACUUCAUAUGGGAUCUAGAGGGGGCAAUAAGUUCUACAUUUCCAACGAGGUGUUGCAUGAAUUGCUAACGGAAUUAAAGUACUUGAGGGUGGUCUCAUUAUGUCAUUGUGACAUCAUAGAGGUACCGAAUUAUGUUGGUGAUUUAAAAUAUCUUUGAUAUCUCAAUUUCUCAUACACAGACAUCAAAAGACUACCUAAUUCAAUUGUCACCUUAUGUAAAUACAAGCUUUGAUCUUAGGAGGUUGUCAAAAGCUUUUUGUGUUGCCUCUAGAUAUCACAAAAUUGGUGAGCUUACAGUUUCUUGACAUUAGAGAUACACACAGUCUAAAUGAGAUGCCUUUCGGUAUUGGUAACUUGAAAAAUCUUAUUGUCUUGCCUAACUUCGAUGUAGGAACUAAGAAAGGGUUACAGUUAAAGGAGUUGAAGAAUUUGUCCUAUCGUCAAAGAGAAUUAGUUAAAUCAGAAUCGCAAAAAGUACGAGAAGCUAGAGAUGCCGUUGAUGCUAAUUUUUUUUGGAAAGCAAGGCCUUAGCAACAUGUUCUUGCAUUGGAGUGAAGAUUUUGGAAAUCUGUGGAAAGAUAAGCAUGAAGCACAAGUGCUUCACUCUUUGCAACCUCGCACUAAUCUUGAAAAUCUCACCAUCUCAUAUUAUGGUGGUGCAAUAUUCCCGUCAUGGUUGGAUGGUCCAUUCUAUUGUAAGCUAGUGUCUUUGUGCUUACAGGGCUGUCCUAAUGUUAUAUCGCUACCCCAACUUGGACAACUACCUUUACUUAAGAAAUUAAGUCUUAAUGGUCUACAUGCAGUAAGAAUGAUAGGCUCUGAAUUUUGUGGAGGUGAAGGGCCUUUCUCAUCCUUAACAACUUUGAAGUUUGAAGAGAUGUUGGCAUGGAAUGAUUGGUCUCGUUAUGCCGGGGGUCCAGAAGAAGAAGUACCAUUCUCCUGUCUUUAGCAUCUUGUUGUUCGGAGUUGUCCUUCGUUGGUUGGGACAUUGCUUUGUCAACUUGAUCGUCUCAUAAAGCUUGAAAUCCAUUUGUGCCCACAUUUGAAAAAUUCAACUAGUGCAGUUUGUCUUCAAUUUCUCUACAAGUUAUAUACCUUAAGGAUUGUAAUAGAGGGAUCUUAAAGUGCUUGGUCAACAUAACUUCUUUAAUCAUUGUCAGGGUUCAAAAUCUUGCAGAGCUUGUUUGCUUUAAUCACGAGAUUAUGAGCUAUUUGGUCAAGCUAAAGGAGCUUCAUAUAAGAAGCCGUGACAAGCUAACAUACUUGUGGCAAGAUGGAAAUGAAACACGAAAUCUUACUUGCCACCAAGAAUUAUCCAUCCAAAGUUGUUCUAAAUUCAUGUCUUUUGUGGCAGAAGAAGGAGAGAUAGAGUUGCCUUUCAACUUCGAAACAAUAAAAUUGAGGGAUUGUGCGAGUUUAGAAAAGCUUCGAGGCAAGAUGCACACGCUCAAAGAUUUGUUAAUUGAGAAGUAUCCAAAACUGAUGGGAUUAUUAACAAUUACUCCAAAUGACUUCACUAGCAAUAAUCUGAUGCCUCAACUUGCUGCUGUCAAGACACUUAUUAUUGGGCAUUGUGAGGGAGUGGAGUUGCCGGAAGGGAUUGUUGUAGAAUUGCCGAAUUCUAUGACAGCUGUUUGAAUUUGGGAAGCCUACCACAGUGUCUUAACAUGCUCUCCCAUUUCACUCUUUUGAAAAUAAGUAACUGUUCGACAUUGGAGAUAGAGUCUUCCCUUCCCUUCCCAUCACCCUGUCAUAUUUCUUUCUCUAUAACUAUCCAAAGAUAAAGUCUACCAAAUCAGUGGCAUCAUCAUGUAUCCCUUCAUAUGUUGUAUAUUAUGUAUUGCCAAAAUAUCAAAUACUUCCCCAAAGGAGGUUUGCUUCAAUUUGUUGGACCUUACAGUUUUAGCGUGUGAGAAUUUGAAGCAUAUAGUGAGAGAGUGGGGCUUACCCAUGCUCACAUCCCUCAAGUUUCUGUUAAUUGACUUGAGCAUGGGAGGGGAAGGAGAGAAGGUAUGGUUUCCUUCGGAGGAAGAGGAUGUGUGGAGUCUUCUCUUUCCUUCCUCUUUGUCUUUGGAUAUUUAAAAUGAGGAACGUGGGAAGACUAUCAAGCUUUCUUUGCAACUAUCUUUCCUCUCACAUUUUUACACCUUCACGAUUGCCCAAAGUUGAGGUGCUUGCCAGAGGAUGGGCUCCCUCCCUCCCUCUGAGAAUUGCGCAUAGAUGGGUGUGAGAUUCUGAAAGAUCGAUGCUUAAAACUCAUUGGCGAUUAUUGGCCCCUCAUCCAACAGAUCCCGAGCAUCCUCAUUGAUGACGUUUGAAUCCAGUGAAUCCAUGUAUGGUUAGUUUCCUAGGGUUCAAGUAAGUUUUUGGUUUUGAUUUCAAUUCCGCUUCCUCAAUUCAAUGUGUAAUACAAAUUGAUAUUGUUUCCGUUGGAAAUGUUUCCCAUGAAUUUCCAAAAACUAGCCACUAAAGGUCAGACUAACAUUUGAGUGGGUGUUCUCAUUGGGUUGGAUCGGCUCUGUUUCAUUGGACAAUAAACUGUGGGACGACAUAUCAUAUCUUGAACUCUGCUUGAUGCCCAAACAAAUUGUGAAUGCAAAUGCACUAUGCAUUGCAUUAGAAUCCUGAUGAAUCAUUGCAUUCCGCCAUCAUGGCAAACAAUUUGAAUUUAGACCAAAGAGACCAUGUUUUGAUGCACAGUGUCCUUGAGUUAGAUAAAUCAAUUGUUCUCAUUUUUCUUCAAAUCAAGAUUUUUGGCUAUCGUUUGAAAGAGAUGACCUUUAUAUGUGGCAAUCCAAAAUAUAGGAUCAUAGGUGAUAUUUCUUCAUAGGAAAAAGUACAAAAAAGGUCCUAAACCUGUGGCACUGGUACCAAUUCAAUAUUAAACUUUUCGGUUGGACCAAUUUAGUCUUAAAUAUUUUUACAUUGGUACUAAUCUAGUCUUUUUGGCCAAUUUUGGCUAACUAGUGCUGAUGUGGAUGUUUGCCGGUUGGCAAACGCUAAUGUGACAAUUUUUAAAUAAUUUUUUUAAAUUUUUAAUUAUUUUUUUGCUUUUCCUUUUUUUUCCUCUUCUUCCUCUUGGCCUUCUUCUCCUGCAAUGGCCAAUGAGUAUAGGCUUUUACAUGGCAGCUAUAAUGCUAGAAAUUUGCAGCAAAGUGGGCGGCAAUGAUCUGUCGGAGGGUGUUGAAGUAGUUGUUGAUGAUAGUGAAUCACUCGAUACGAAAAUCGUGGUCCUUUGAAUAAAAAAAGCUAGCCCAAGAGAACUUGCUUGAUGGAUUAGUUGAUGAUUUGUGAAUUGUGUACUAUUUCCAAAGUAAAAAUAAGCAAGUUGCUUCAUGGAUUCGUUGGUCUACCCAACUCUUUUUCUUGUUUGGCCCAAAGCACUUGUUUCUGUUCUUCUUAUCGAAUAGUCAAAGUUAGUUUUCUUUGAUGACUUGCGGAUCUAUAAUAAAAAGUAAGAUGCAAUUGUUAGGUGGAAUGUCAACAUUUAUUUUAGUUGGUGCAAGUUGUACAAAGAUGCUUAUUUGUCAGUCCUAUUAAUUGUGGUAAGCUUCAUUCAUCGCUAGACAAGAAAAAGGGUCAAGCUCACCAACUAACAAAGUACUAGAUAUAUGCUAGGCAUCACGCUUAUGAAUAGGAAAAUCGUGCAAAGGACCACGAUUCUCCUAUCAAAUGGUUCUCGAUCAUUAACCACUAACUCAGUACCCUUCAGUAGAUCAUUGUUGCAUGUUUGCCUGCAAAUCUUUAGCACUAUAACUACCACAUAAAAGCCUACAUUGAUCACAUAUUCACCAAUAACACAAUAAACAAAGAUAUUGAAUUUAUAAGGCUACUAAGAAUGUACGGACGCAAAAAAAAGGGGGGGGGAUAAGUGCAUUAUAAGUUCUAAAACUUGCCACAAAAGUGCAAUUGAGUUUUAACACUUUAAAAACACAAUUAAGCCCAAAAGCCUGCUAUGAAGUAGAAUUAAGUCUUAAAAUUUUCAAAAAGUGCAAUUAAAUCCUAAAACAUGUCAAAUAGGUUCAAUUAAGUUCUUUCGUUGAUUGCAAUUUUCGAAAAUUUUACGAUUUAAUUGCACUUUCAAGACAAGUUUUAGGAAUUGAUUGCAUUUUUUAAAAUUUUUAGGACUUGAUGAUAUUUUUGUGACAAGUUUUAGGGUAUCUUUCGAAAAUUUUAAAAUUCAAUUGUACUUUCAUGAUAAAUUUUCAGACUUCCCAUACACUUAUUAUUAUUAUUAUUUAAAAAUCCUUGGUCUGUCUUUGUUUAAUGUUUUAGGACUCAAUGGUUUUUGUUAGGGUAGGUUUCUCAUUUUUUAGAACUUGGAACCUACCCUAUAUGUUAUGGAACUGGGAACCUAGAACCCCCGUUGUUCUCUCAAUGAUUGGUAAACCCAUGAUCAUUGGAGAGAUCUUUUGGAGUCCCUUCUUGGCUUCCUUCUUAUGCUUAUUUCUAGUAUUGUUAAUCUUAAGAAGACACGUAACGUGUGGAAAUUCUACUAGUAAUGUAAAAAGUGACAUUAACAUAAGGAUGGAAGAAGAGGGAUGUAAAAAGUGAAGCAGUAAAGCCAAUUUGUGUCCCGUAAAGUCUUGGUCUUCCUAGAAUUGAUUAAAGUUUCUUUCCCACUAUCACUUUUUCCCUUGUGCUUAAUUUUUCACACAAAAAAGUUGAUGAUUCCCAAUAAAGUCUUGGUCUUUCUAAUACUCCAAGAAGUUUGAGCUAGACCGGAGAUCACAUGUUUUGACGCACAUUAUGUCAUCGAGUUAUAUUGUUCUCCUUUUUCUUCAAAUCAAGGAUUUUGGAUGUCGCUUAAAAUAGGGGACCAUUUCUUUUGACCCAGAGCAUGAGAUUUUGUUGUCCUUACCAAACAAACAAACCUAACUGUCUUUGAUGACUUGUGGAUACAAAACAUACAAUAAGAUGCCAUUGUUGGUUAUGUCAUCAGUAAUUUAGGUUUCAAUAACUUUGACAAUGCAGCGAUCCUUUGAUGCGAUUUUGGCCCCAUGAAGCACGAGAGCUACUGGGGAGACAUAUGUUGGCAUGAGAUGGCUAGCUGCAGAAUUCUUGCAAAAAUAGAUGUCCAGCUUCAAAUUCAUUAUAUGGUCUAAGUUCAAAUUUCAAAUAGUUUGUGAACGGGCUUCUAAUAGUGCGUGAUUAUGAAUUCUCUAGAAUCAUUAUAAUUAGUAUAUACACCGGCAUGUGAUACUAAUUCACUUCAAGUAAUAUUAGAGGAAAGGCAUAAUACUAAUUUGUGAGCUCACUCAUAAUAAGUAGGUUGAAUUGUCCUCAAAAUUCUAAAAUUAUAGACAAUCCAGAUCCAUUGUCUAGAAAAUAUUUGAUACCAGUUAGCUUAUUUUCCACACUAAAUAAAGAAAAACGAAUUUCUCUUUAAGAAAGGAAGAUCAUGCAAUACAUGCUAGUGUCAUGGCCCGAAAGAAAGUCGAUCCUAGAGGUUCCUAUGGAAUGGGCGUGACACAUUCGACCCUCGGCUUAUAUCCCUGAGACUUAAGGUUUUCUCGAGCCUUCUAGAAUACUUGGGGCGGGCGAUACAAUAAUUGUAUUCGUUUAUAAUAAAUGCGGGUAGUUGGUACUUGGGGAGAUGUAAUCUUCACCGUUAGAUCAAGGGAAGACCUACGGAUACGGUUUGCCUUGUCUUUGUAUAAAUAUGGGUCUCCUCCUCUUCAUUGUAUUAUCUCAUUCACAAGUGAAAUACAAUCCUAAGCUUCUCUCUCUAGAGUUUUCUCUCUCUAAGAUCCUUGUGAAUCGAGUGUGGGUAAAGCUGCUUAGGGGUAAAAUCCUAAGGCCGCACGAGUCAGCUUAUGAGUGAUUGAGAGUGAUCGAUCAGCCUGUAACAAGUGGUAUCGGAGCUGAGUUUGUUUCAAGCGCAAGCACAAUAGCUGAUCCACGAUUUGAUGAGGCGCAAGCCAUGGGUGGUGACUAUGUUGAUCGUGGGAGGAACACCGAGAAGGUUGCUGCCAAGGGGAAGAAGACCCGUGGUGGUUGGAGUUCAAAGGAUCCAACGGGGGACCUUGCACAUCGUAUGACGAAGCUAGAGUUGUUUGUCAUCGAUGUCCAAUGAUCGGUUGAUGACCUGACCCAAACCGUGGAUGGAGUUGACGCCGGAAGAGAGGAGCUCGUUGCUAAGGUGCAAGAGCUCAAGACCGGCAUGGGAGAGCUCUGCCACGAGUUGCUAGGGACCCUACGGAAAGAACUCGCACAACGGUACGAACUCUUGAAGGCCAUGAUAGCGGCCAUGCACGUGGAGAUAGUGGAGCUUAAGGGUAAGCUUGCUGAAUCGGAAGUUGCACGCAUGAAUAUGGUGAUCACUGUGCAAGGUCCACGAGUGGACACACCGAAGCCAAAGGAAUUCCGAGGCUUGCAGGUGGCCAAAGACGUGGACAAUUUCCUCUAGUAUAUGGAGCGGUACUUCCAAGCCAUGGGGAUUAACGACGAGCAAUCACAGGUAAAUACUGCAUCUAUGUACUUAGUCGAUAAUGCAUUGUUAUGGUGGCGUCAUCGGUCAGAUGAUAGAUGUGGGGUACUUAUCACAACCUGAGGUAGAUUCAUCGAGGAUUUCCUACGGAACUACUUUCCCGCUUAUGCGAAGGAGGAAGCUCUUCACGAGCUGAAGCGUCUCGAGCAAAAGGGUGGUGCGCGCGACUACAUCAAGCGGUUUUCGGAGUUGCUACUCCAAAUCCCUUCGAUGAACGAGAUUGAAGCGUAUCACCAAUUCAUGAGUAGUCUCAAACCAUGGACUAAGCAAGAGUUGAAGUGGUGCAAUGUGGGAGAUCUCACGACGGCCAUGACCAUGGCCGAAUCGCUUGUGGAAUACAAGGGGCUUUCCACAUCCCAAUCGGACUCGUGUCCGAGGAACAAAGCCACUUGGGGGGGAGAUCGGGGGUGAUACAACUGCCCGAUCGGAGGUAGACCACUGGUUGGUCCUUACAAAGCUCAUGUGAAGUCGAGCGGAUGAGGACAAAGGAAGGUACACUCAUACAAAUGUUUCUUUUGCCAUGGUCUGCACAUAGCAAGGGAUUGCCCGAACAAGGCCAAGCUAGCCGCCCUUUGCAAGGAAGAUGAGCCUAGGAAGGAAACGCGGUUAGGUUCGCUGCGACUUCUUAGCAUGAUCAAGUCCAAGAAGGCGAAGGAGCCUAAAGGCUUGAUGUUCGCGGACUUGAAAGAUCGGAGAGUCCACAAUGAGUGCACUCAUGGAUACGGGAGCCUCCGACCUUUUUAUAUUAGAGCAAGCCGCGAAAAGACUUAACCUACGGGUUGAGAAAGGAGUCGGGUGGCUCAAGACAAUAAACUCCAAGAAAAUCCAUGCAACCGGUGUUGCAAGGGACAUGAAGCUACAACUCAGGCCAUGGAAGAGCAAGGAGACUCUAGAGGUAAUUCUCCUUGACGACUACGACUUUAUCAUUGGGAUAAAAUUCCUAGAUAAAAUCCAUGUUGUUAUAUUGCCUUUCGCCAAGUGUAUAUGCGUGUUGGACAAGCAUUGUCAAUGCGUGAUUCCAGUACAUCAUGAGUCGGACCGUGAUAGGAGGAUGAUCUCGGCUAUGCAACUCACCAAAGGGGCAAGGAAGGGUGAGGUGACCAUCCUAGCUGCCUUGAAGAUUAAAGACAACAAAGGCAAAGAGAAGGAAGUCUUAACGGAGGUAGCCCGAGUCCUCAACUCGUUCAAGGACGUGAUGCCUUCAGAGUUGUCGAAGAAGCUACUAUCUCAAAGAGAGGUGGAUCAUCGAAUCGAGUUGGUGCUUGAAGCUUGACCGCUUGCCAUGGCACCUUAUCGCAUGGCGCCCCCCGAAUUGGAAGAGUUGAUGAGGCAACUAAAGGAGUUGCUCGAUGCGGGCUAUAUUCAGCCAUCCAAAGCUUCGUUCGGUGCACUAGUCCUGUUGCAAAAGAAGCACGAUGAGUCACUUCAAAUGUGCAUCAACUACCAAGCAUUGAACAAGCUAACCAUGAAGAACAAGUACUCGAUUCCGCUCAUCGCGGAUCUCUUCGAUCAACUUGGUGGAGCUAAGUGGUUUACCAAGCUGGAUCUUUAAUUAGGCUACUAUCAAGUUCGGAUCGCUGAAGAAGACGAGCCGAAGAUAGCCUGCGUGAUGCGGUAUGGAUCCUAUGAGUUCCUUGUGAUGCCAUUUAGCCUGACCAACGCUUCGGCUACAUUUUGUACGCUCAUGAACAAGGUACUCCACCCUUUCCUAGAUCGAUUUGUAGUGGUUUACCUAUAUGAUAUUGUAGUCUAUAGUCGGACGCUCGAUGAGCAUGUCGAGCAUCUAAAGCAAGUCUUCCAAGCCUUGCACAAAACCGAGUUGUAUGUUAAGCGUGAGAAGUGUGCGUUUGCCCAAGAGGAAGUCCCGUUUUUGGGGCACAUUGUCGGGGGUGAACGAGUGUGUAUGAACAAAGCGAAGAUUCAAUCGAUCGUCGAAUGGGAGCCGUUGACAAAGGUGAUGGGGGUGAGGUUGUUCCUAGGCCUCACCAACUACUACCGGUGAUUCAUUCAAAGCUACUCGAGUAUCACCGUGUCGCUCACGGACCUGCUGAAGAAGGAGAAACUGUGGGAGUGGAUGGAUAGAUCGAUGCCAAAGAGCAUUCGAUCGGUUGAAAAAAGCCAUGACCGAGGAGCCGGUGUUGGCGUUGCCUAACCACAUCAAGCCUUACGAGGUAGAAAUUGACGCCUCAAAUUUUGCUAUUGGUGGCGUCCUUAUGUAGGAAGGACAUUUGGUGGCGUACGAGUUUCGCAAGUUGAACAAUACCGAGCACCGGUAUAUCGUUCAAGAGAAGGAGAUGACCGCGGUGGUCCAUUGCCUUCGGACGUGGAGGCACUAUCUCCUGGGAUCAAAGUUCGUCGUGAGGAUAGAUGGCCACGAGCUAUUUCUAGACCCAGAAGAAGCUGAGUUCGAAGCAAGCUCGCUGGCAAGACUUCUUAGCGGAGUUUGACUAUACGUUGGAGUACAAGCCAAGGAAGGCCAACUCUGUGGCGGACGCGUUGAGUUGAAAAAUGGAGUUGAAGAGUAGCUCAGUGAGUCGAUCGAGCUGUCCUUGGGUUGACCGCAUAAAUGAGGGGUUGAAGCAUGAUCAAAGAGGUCAAGCCCUUAUCGGGUAUGCGAACGAAGGUAGGACUCGACAAUUCUGGUAUGAGGACGAGCUCCUUUACACCCAAGGAAGGCAUUUGUACAUGCCCUUCUAUGGGAAGUUAAGGAAGGAGAUCUUGCGCGAGUGCCACGACUUGAAGUGGGCGGGUCAUCUAGGGAUCCACCGCACAUUAGCCCUCGUCGAAGAUUGGUAUUACCGGUCGCAAAUGCGGGACGAUGUGGAAGCUUAUGUGAAGACUUGUUUGGUGUGCCAAUAAGAUAAGCUAGAGCAACGAUCGUCAUCGGGCCUAUUGGAGUAGCUUCCCGUUCCAACUCGUCCAUGGGAAAGUGUUUCCAUGGACUUCAUCGUCAACCUGCCAAAGUCCGAAGGGUGUCGGACUCUCAUGGUCAUGGUGGAUAGGUUUUCCAAGUAUUUGACUUUUGAGCCUACGACAAAGGAUUGUUCGACCAAGGAGGCGGCCAAGCUAUUCAUGAAGCACGUGGUUAAGUACUGGGGAGUGCCACAAACAAUCGUGAGCGAUCGCGAUCCUCGUUUCACGGGUCGUUUUUGGUCCAAGUUGUUCAAGUUGCUGGGGUCGGAGCUAAAUAUGUCCACGAGUUUGCAUCCCCAAACCGACAGUCAGAUGGAGUAGGUCAAUGCACUCUUGGAGAUUUAUCUUCAAACUAUGUGAGUACAACGUAGGUGAAUUGGACGAAGUUGAUCGACGCAGCCUAGUUCUCCUACAACUUGCAGCGGAGCGAGUCAACCGGCUAGAGCCUGUUCGAGAUCGCAACUGGGCAGCAACCGAAUACCCCUAGCGCCAUUGCUUCGGGUUAUCGAGAGAGUAGUCCACCCGCGUAUAAGUUCGCCAAGGAUUGGCAAGAGCAGGCCGACUUGGCAAGGGUGUGUCUACACAAAGCCUCCAAGCCCAUAAAGAAGUGGGCCGACAAAAAGCGAUGGCAUGUGGAGUUCUAGGUUGGGGACCAAGUGCUGGCCAAGCUACACAUGGUUUUUCGAUACAAGGACGUGCAUAAGGGGUUGAUCCUCGCUACAAAGGGUCGUUUCGUGUGUUGCAACGGGUUGGGAAGGUCGCAUACAAAUUAGAGCUACCACCAAAGCUCAAGGUACAUCCGGUUUUCCAUGUGAGUAUGCUUAAGCCUUUCCAGUUUGAUGAGGAAGACCCAAAUUGAGGGGAGUCGCAAUGGGUGCCACUCGGAGCAAAAACCUCAUAUGAUCGAGAAGUCAAGAGCAUCAUGGCGGAUCGAAUCAUACGGAAGCAGUAUCGUGCGCCCAGACGAGAAUAUUUGAUCCGAUAGAAGGGUCUUCUAGAGAGUGAAGCAAGUUGGGAGCCCACGGAGAGUCUUUGGCAUUUCAAGAAGGAGAUCGACGCUUUCCAUGUUGAAGAUGUGACGAGGGCGUCGCCUGAUUAGGUGGGGGAGAAUGUCACAGCCCGAAAGAAAGCCGAUCCAAGAGGUUCCUAUGGAACGAGCAUGACACAUCCGACCCUUAGCUUGUAUCCCCGAGACUUAGGGUUUUCUUGAGCCUUCUAGAAUACUCCUAGGGGAGGGCGACACGGUAAUUAUAUUCAUAUGUAAUAAAUGUGGGUAGUUGGUAGUUGGGAAGAUAUAAUCUUCAUCGUUAGAUCGAGGAGAGAUCUAUGGAUACGGUUUGCAUUGUCUUUGUAUAAAUAGGGGUCUCCUCCCCCUCAUUGUAUUAUCUCAUUCACAAGUGAAAUACAAUCCAGAGCUUCUCUCUCUAAGAUCCUUGUGAGUCGAGUGUGGGAGAGGCUGCUUAAGGGUAAAAUCCUAAGGUCACAUGGGUCAACCUAUGAGUGAUCGAGAGUGAUCGAUCGGCCCGUGACACUAGACUCCAACUUGACGUAAUAUGAUGGCUCUCUCUCUCUCUCUCUCUCUCUCUCUCUCUCUCUCUCUCUCUCUCUCUCUCUCUCUCUCUGUGGCUAAAACCUUGAGUCAUUCCAUGUCCACACGCAUUACAUGUUCCGCUUGUGCGUAUUUAGAUUCUCGACUUUUGUUAAUUCUUAGAUACUACAACUAAAACAUGAUUAAUAAAAGUAUUUAAAAUACUAUGGACUAAUUUUAUGAUACAAUCAGUAAUACCAUAUGAGUCUUAAAUGCUCUUCUUUUUCGAAUGAAAAAUGGUGAACAUUUUCAUUUCAUCCUUUAAUAAUUGACGGAUGAAAUACAAAUGAGUGCCUUAGAGAUUGGUUAAAAUAUAUCUCGAGUUUGAGCCCAAUGUGAAAUUCUGAAUUGGAUAUGUUGUGGACGUUCGAAAUCGAACAAAGAAAAUCCGAAGAUCAAUUUUCCAAAUUUGAAUAUGCGUUUGAGAGUCUGGCCGCUAAAAUAGGAAAGUUCAACUUUCACUUGGAUUUGGAUUUUGUUUAAAACAUACAGAGAUAUGUUUUGGAUAAAAUCGUUUAAGAUUGGAAACAGAAUCCUAUGAGAAGUUGACAAAAGAAUAAGGGUCUCACUUAUAUAUAGAGUUGUGAUUAUGGAUGGAAGAGGGUUGAUCAUGAAGAAUUGGUCUUAAAGCGCCGUCUCAUCGUCGAGUGCUUGGGAGGGAUUUUCUUUGUCGUUCUUGUCCGUGAAUUACAUCUAAGAAGAUUUAGUGUUUGUAGCCAAUUAAAUCUUGUGGUAAGAUUUGCGUUUAAUUCCUUCGUGAGAUUGAGAGAUUAUUUCUUGAGGAAUUUCGGGGCUAAACAAUACGUGGGUUAUUGGGUGUAAUUGGGGCUUGGGAAACGCCGAGAGAGUGUUUGAGUGACUCGAGUGUGUAAUCUCCUUGUAUUGCUUGGUCUAUAGUGAAAUUCACUGCUGGUCUCCUCGUAGACGUAGGUCUUUACGACUGAACCAUGUAAAUCCGUUGUCCGAUUUAUUUUAUUCUUCUGUCUAUAUUAUUGUUCGAUCGCUCGCCUUUCGCAACAAGUGAUAUCAGAGCCAGGCUUGGCUAAGUUGAAGCAAAUCGAUGGCGACAGAAGAAGUAAAAGUGAUAAUCAACAGAUUUGAUGGGAAAGAUUUUAGUUUUGGAACAUGUAAAUUGAAAAUUAUCUUUACCAGAUGAAACUGCACUUACCUUUAUUUGGGGAGAAACCAGAGACGAUGAAGCAAGCUGAUUGGGAUUUGCUAGAUAGACGAGCUAUGGGUGUUAUUCAGCUGACGUUGGCUCGUAACGUCGCGUUUAACAUCUUGAAGGAGAAGACCACUGAUGAUUUGAUGCAAACCUUAUCAGAUAUGUACGAGAAGUCCUCUGCGAUUAACAAUGUCUAUUUGAUGUGACGUUUGUUUAAUUUGAAGAUGAGCGAAGGUGCAUUAGUUGCAGAUUAUAUCAAUGAAUUAAAUGUGAUUGUUAGUCAAUUGAGUUCAGUUGAGAUUGAUUUUAAAGAUGAGGUACGUGAUUUGAUUCUGUUAUCCUCAUUACUUAAUAGUUGGAAUAUUACUGUUUCUGCUAUUAGUAAUUCCUCUAGGUCAACAAGUUUGACGUUUUAUUGGUUUGAGAUUUAAUUCUGAGCGAGGACAUUCGUAGAAGAGAAUUUGGCAAAUCUAUAUCUACUACUUUAGUAGGUGAAAAUAGAGAGAGAUCUAUAACAUGUGUGGGUAAGAGUAGUACUAAUAUGAACAGGUGUAGUCAGUCUAGGACUGGUGAUGUUGUCUGUUGGAGCUGUGGCAAGAAAGGGGCAUCUUAAAAGGAAUUGUCUUAAGCUGAAGAAUGAGAAUGGUAAGAAAAUUAUAGUUAAUUAUGCAAAUAAUGCUGCAGUUGUAGCAGACAAUGUCGAUUAUGUCUUGUCUGUCUCCAGUGAUUCAUCGUUUGAUGGAUGGAUUAUGGAUUAUGGUUGUUCUUUUUAUAUCACACCAAAUAAAAACUAGUUUAUCACUUAUCAGUGCACGGGUAGUGGUAAAGUCCAAUUAGGGAACAACGCUGAGAAUGAUGUUGUGGGUGUUAGUGAUGUUAAAAUCAUAAUGCACGAUGGUAUUGUGAGGACAUUGACUGGAGUAAGACACGUUUCGGAAUUGAAAAAGAAUUUAAUUUCUUUGGGUGCUCUAGAUUCAGCUGGUUGUAGGUAUUCUUCAAAAGGUGGAGUUCUGAAUAUUGUUCGAGGUGCCCUGGUGAUAAUGAAAGGAAUCAAGCAUGGAAGUAUGUAUAAAUUUCAAGGUGAGAUAAUGACAAAUUUCGCUGUGGAGACGUUAGAUGCAUCUGUUCGAGAGUCUUUUGACUGCUUGAGGAAGAUUUGGGUGUUUAUGCCAAUACACAAGUUUGAUAACUGGUGUUAGGAUCACACGGUUGAAAGCUUUGAUCGAGACAGAGACUAGUAAGUCGAUCAAGCAUGUGCGAAUUGACAAUAGCAUGGAGUUAUGCUUGAAGCUGGCACAUAAAUUCUACAUGAAAGAGGGCAUAGUGAAACGUCGCACUAGUGUUAGUAAAUCACAAUAAUUUGCAGAAUUGCUGAGCAGAACAUUACUAGAGAUGGGCCGAAAAAUGAUCUCUAGUGUUGGUAUUACUAGGAGAAUCCUAGCUAAUGUGCUUAAUACAAUAAACUGUCUGGUGAAUAGAUUCCCAUCAACUGCUAUUGAAUGGUGGUCUUCUAAAGAAGUCUGGUCAAGUAACGUUACUGGUUAUUCUAUUAUUAAAAUGUUUGGUUGCCCGUGUUAUUUUCGAGUGAGUGAUGGUAAGCUCGAUUGGAGGGCAAUGUACAUAUUUCAUGGCUAUGCACAAGGUGAGCGGGGCGAUCGGUUGUGGUGCCCAGAUAUGAAUUCACUUGUUAACAGCAGAGAAGUUACCCUUAAUAAGUCUCUAGUAUUUCUGGCUAGGAAUGUUUGUGGCAGUGUUAAUACAGAUCUGGACGUUGUUCAGCUUGAGGUGGAAUUGCGACUAGAAACUCCUGAGGUAGCGAGUACGAGUACUAGCAAAGUAAUCGACACAGAUGGUGCUUGUAGCGAGGUGGAGUCUAUAGAGCUGAUAGUUGCUAUAACUACUGAAAUUAACAAGGUAUGUAUUCGAUCUCCUAACAGAUAUGGAUGCAAUAGUGGUUUUGCUUUAUCUACGGUUGAGGAGGUUGCGUUUGAAAAUCCUUGUGGAGCAGUUAAAGGUGCAUGUGGAGUUAGUAUUCUGAUGAGGUCCUCAGUUAUGGCAAAGUUCAAGCGAGGCUUGGAUUUGGAUAAUAUCUGUGGCGGUUGAGCCCAUCGGGGACUAUGGGAAAGUAGCAGCAUGGUUUGAAUUUUUUGCGAAGUUAUUGUGACUUGGCUCAAACGUUGAGGCAAGGUGGAGAUUGUUAAAAUAUAUCUCGAGUUUAAGCCCAAUGCGAAAUUCCAGAUUGGAUAUGUUGCGAAUGUUUGAAAUCGAGCAAAGAAGAUCCGAAGAUCAACUUUCCAAAUUUGAAUCUGCGUUUGAGAGUUUGGCCGCUAAAAUAGGAAAGUUCAACUUUCACUUGGAUUUGGAUUUUGUUUAAAACAUAUAGAGAUAUGUUUUGGAUAAAACCGUUUAAGAUAGGAAACAAAAUCCUAUUAAGAAGUUGACAAAAGAAUAAGGGUCACACACACACACACACACACACACACACAUAAUGGAAGAGGGUUGAUUGUGAAGAAUUGGUCUUGAAGCGCCAUCUCAUCAUCGAGUGCUCGAGAGGGAUUUUCUUUGUCGUUCUUGUCUGUGAAUUACAUCCAAUAAGAUUUAGUGUUUGUAGCCAAUUAAAUCUUGUGGUAAGAUUUGCGUUUAAUUCCUUCAUGAGAUUGAAAGAUUAUUUCUUGAGGAAUUUCGGGGCUAAACACUGCAUGCGUUAUUGAGUUUAAUUGGGGCUUGGGAAACACUGAGACAGUGUUUGAGUGACUCGAGUAUGUAAUCUUAUUGUAUUGCUUGGUCUAUUGUGAAAUUUGCUGCUAUUCUUCUUGUGGACGUAGGUCUUUACGACUGAACCACGUAAAUCCGUUGUCCGAUUUAUUUUCUUCUUCGGUCUAUAUUAUUGUUCAAUCGCUCCCCUUUCGCAACAGUAUUGGUGUUUUGGGGGGGGGGGGUAAUCCUCGAAGGGUCAAGUCCUUAAUGCUAUGGUUGAUUGGAUAUGGUGACAAAAAAAGGACAAUGAAGGCCCUGGCAGUUCCAUCAUUUUGUUUAAACAUAUAUAGGACCCAUCUUUGGUCACUAUUGGUGAACAUGAUCCAAUAAUUGGUUUAGCAUAUACAUAGACUCCAUGAUUACUCUCAUCCUUGGUAAACUGAAGUCAUGGCAAGCAUGAUUAACAAAAACCAUCGUGAAAUUUGUUUGGACUCUUGUAAAAUCUCUCCAUGACUCUUUAAGUCGAACUGACUUGAUUUCUACUCUUUACCUUGUAUAAUGCAAGAACAUAAAAACUUCAAAUAAUUAAAAUAUAUAUUUUUAAUUGAAAACUCAAGAUUUAGAAAAUAUUUUCGAGAAACUAAUUGAUUUUUAGCUCAUAAAAAUGAACGGAUCAAUUUUUUUCAUCAUUUACUAAAAUAAAUAGGUAUAAAUUGAUGUUGGCAAUGAAAAAUAUUUUGCGUUGAUUAAUUUUUUUUAAAUGAUAUAACUGAUCAUUUUUUGGAAAAUGUUAUCCAAAAAGUUUUUUUUGAAACAAACACAUCCUUAAACUAUUUUGAUGGAGCAAAACAAGAAGAAUUGACUCAAUUCGAUCCGAAAGAGGAACAUAACGGAAAAUCUGAAAAGAAGCAGAAGUCAAGUACAAAUCCUAGUGUCUGAACCUCCACAGCCAUUCCUCUGCAAAGAGAGGCGAAACGUGAGCAACAAGCAGGCGGUUACAGCCACACCUGGAAAGGAUCACUCAACAAUUCCACACAUCCAAAAAAUUAAGAAAUCUCGAGUUAAAAGAUGUAAAGGUUUGCCUUUGGCAGCGAAGAUGUUUGGCGGUGCCCUACGUAAUAAAAUGAAACCCAGUGAAUGGGAAGAUACCUUAAAUAACCUAAUAUGGGAUCUUCCAACGACAAAGAAUGAUGAGGUUCUCCCCAUUAUGAAAUUGAGCUAUGUCCAUCUUCCUUCCUAUUUGAAGAGAUGCUUUUCUUAUUGUGACGUAUUUCCUAAGGAUUAUGAAAUUGAGAGGGAUGAGCUAGUACUCUUAUGGAUAGCGGAGGGAUUUUUAGAUGGACAAAACACAAAGAAAAAUAAGUUGGAAUUAGGAUGGAAUUACUUCGAUGAAUUAGUAUCUAGAUCAUUUCUUCAAAAAUCAAGUGUUGACACAUCUAAGUUUUCAAUGCAUGAUCUUUUGAAUGAUCUAGCAAAGUCAAUUGAGGGUGGGAUAUGCUUUAGCACUGGGGAGUCUCAGCUAGCAAUUAAUGAAGAUUAUGCAUCUCUUGAGAGAGCUCGUUAUGCAUCAUUCAUCUGGUCGCAGUUUGUUACAUCAAAAUGCUUGAGGCCAUAUCAUGAUAUGAAGGUAUUAAGAAGUUUAAUUCUAGUGCGUAUUGGACCUAGUGGCAACUCUCUCCUUAUAUCCGACAAGGUGCUACAUGACUUGCUAACAAACUUGAAGUUUCUUAGGGUGUUUUCAUUAUGUCAUUGUCGCAUCGUAGAGGUACCGAAUUGUGUUGGUGAAUUAAAACAUCUUCGAUAUCUCAAUUUCUCGAACACUUCUAUCAGAAGGCUACCUGAGUCAAUUGGUGACUUGUGCAAAUUACAAGCUUUGAUCUUAAGAGGUUGUCAUUAGCUUUCAAAGUUGCCUCACGGUAUCACAAAGUUGGUCAGCUUACAGUUUCUUGAUGUUAGAGAUACAGAAAGUCUAAAAGAGAUGCCAUUGGGUAUCAAUAACUUGAAGAAUCUUACUAUCUUGUCCAAGUUUGUGGUAGGAAUAGAGAAAGGGCUACAGUUAAAGGAGUUAAAGAACUUGUCGCAUCUUCAAGGAGAAUUAUUCAUAUUGAAAUUACAAAAGGUGGAAGAUGUUAGAGAUGGUGUUGAUGCUAAUUUGUUUGGAAAGCAAGACCUAAGAAAAUUAUUCUUGCAUUGGGAAAAAGAUUUUGGAAUUCUUCGGAAUGAUAAGCAUGAAUCACAGGUGCUUGAGUCUUUGCGACCUCCCAUUGAUAUUGAAAAUCUCACUAUUUUGAACUAUGGUGGUGCAAUAUUCCCGUCAUGGUUAGAUGGUUCAUCAUAUUCUUGGAUAGUGUCUUUGAGCUUGUGGAACUGUCCUCAUGUCACAUCAUUGCCUUCAUUUGGACAACU